RNAcentral lists this long non-coding RNA (76417 nucleotides) under Lathyrus oleraceus (garden pea). RNAcentral describes it as "Pisum sativum (pea) long non-coding RNA (PSAT_LNC011672)". The record is from RNAcentral. Lineage: Eukaryota; Viridiplantae; Streptophyta; Magnoliopsida; Fabales; Fabaceae.
GAAAAGGGUUUAGUUGUGCGGUGGUCGACGGCGUGGGUUACUUCGGUGGCGGAGUUCGAUCCACGGUGGAAGGAAAAAGAAGAGUGAGGUUGUUUAGAUCGCAGUCAGCUUGGUAGAUGGCGUUGAAGGGAAUUCGCGGCGGCCAUGGCGGUUAGCCGGAAGUUGUUGAAGGAUGUUAAGGGCGGAGAAUUCGAGACGUACGGUGGAGUGUGUAUGUUAUGGUGGUGUUUGUUGGAAGGUUUGAGUUUAUGAAGAAGAAGAGGAUUUGAAGGAAUUGAGUGGGUAAGGGUGUGACGGCAGUGCGUUUUUUCAAGGGGAAGAAGAAGGUGGAUUUCAGUGUUUUGUGUGUGUGACGUUUGGGAGCAGAAGAAGUAUUCCUCCCUUUUUGUUUUUUUCUGUCCCAUGAGUCCCCUUUUUCUUGAGACAGAGUGGUGAUCCCCACGUGAAGAAGAAAUCUCUUUGUUUCCCCUUUUUCCCCGUUAGCCAGCUGUUCCUCCAUUAAUAAAAUCCCAUUUUUGUUCUUAUCCCAUCUCUCCCAAUAACAUGAUGCCACGUUUCAUGUUGAGAGUAUGGAUAAAAAAUCUUCUCAAAUGCAAGCUGUCAAACGUGUAUCUUUCACAAGUAUACAACUUUAUUUUUAAUUUUUAAUUUUUAAUGUUAAUAUUAAUAUUAUUUGAUUUUUCAUGAUUAAUAUUAUUAUUAAUUGAUUUUUGAUUGGAUAAUGGAAUAUGAUAACGAUUGCAAAUGAGAUCCGUGGAUUAAUUUGUAUCAACGAUCCUGAUUAAUCCAAAGAAGCACAAGCAAUUUUAAAAUGUCCGAUAUGUCCCUUUUAUAUGAUUUUAAUUGAUUUAAAAUAAUUUAAAUCAUCAAAUCAAAUUAAAUUCGCAUCUUUCUAAAUACAUACGAUAAAAAUAAAAUGAGAAUACGAAAAAUUCUAUUUAUUUCUUUUGAACAUUUUGGCGAAAGAAUAAAAAUAAAAUGACUAAAAAUUAAUAAAAGUCGGACGAAAAUUUGUUUAAAAAAUUAAAUCGGACGCACUAAAAUGAUCAGCGCGAAAUAUACUUAUUGAAAAAAUACAUCAUUUCUUUUAAUUUUGAAAUAAAUUUUGACCGAUUGAAAGGCUUAGACGGAUCAAAAUGCGAUUGAAAAAGUCGUCGAAAAAUAUAACGAGCACACCAUGUUAAACUACGCAGACCAUAGAUUAAUAAUACUGGCGUAUGCAAGUUUAAUUUUGAAACUUUUUACACGCUGAUUUUGCACGUACUUGAGAAAUGAUUUAACCAAUUUGUCUAUAUUUUCAAUAAUUUAUUUCGACCGAUAUUUUAAGUAUUAUUCAUGAUGAAAUGCAUGUUAUGCUGUACAACUGAUGCAAAUUAAAAAUGAAAUCAAGUUUAUGAAAAAUUUAAAAUGUCUGGACAAAAUUGGGGUAUGACAGCUGCCCCUAUUUAGUUACCUUGAUCCGGAAAGUAAGAAUUACAGCAGUGUCCGUAAAUUCGUGGUGGAAGGUAAUUAAAUACGAAAAGACCCAAAUUUUGUCCUUUGAAAUGUGAUGGAGAAAUGUAGAAAGAAAAUGUAACGAAUCCUAACGACAUCCAGGGUAUUAGGGGUAGAAUAUCCGAUCAAUGCCAACCCUCGAGUCGACAUUUAAAUCUUGCAAAGGUCGUUAUUGAUAUGAGGACAAACCUGAGCAGGUUUUCUGGCACCAAAAGGAUGACAAUAGAAUUAAUUGCCAUCACCAAAAGGGUGAUAGUAAUUCACCAUGAUUUCCGGGAUCGUCAUCACCAAAAGGAUGAUGGAAUACCAAGCUUCAAAGGUAGUCAUCACCAAAAGGAUGAUGGUUAUCCUGAUAAAGCUUUCCAUUACCGAGGGGGUAAUAUUAAGACUAUCAUCAAAAGGACGAUAGUUAACUCAUCAACUUCAAAGAUCACCGUCACCAAAAGGAUGAAAGUAAGUUCAACGACAAAACUUAUUAUCACCAAAAGGAUGAUGCUAAGUCACGGCAACUUCAUUGGAUCACCAUCACCAAAAGGAUGAAGGUAACAUUAACAACAAAACUUGUUAUCACCAAAAGGAUGAUAAAAAGUCAACAAUCACCAUCACCAAAAGGAUGAAGGUACUACCAAACAACAGAACUUGUUACCACCAAAAGGAUGAUAAUAAGUCAACAAUAUUAAUGAUCACCAGUAUCCAAAGGAUGAAGGUAAGAUCAACAACGAAACUUGUUAUCACCAAAAGGAUGAUAAUAAGUCACAAACUUCAAAUGAUCACCAUCACCAAAAGGGUGAAGGUAAGAUCAAAUAACAGAACUUGUUACCACCAAAAGGAUGAUAACAAGUCAUCAACCACCAUCACCAAAAGGAUGAAGGUAAAAACAAACAACAAAGCUUGUUACCCUCAAAAGGAUGAUAAUAAGUCAACAACUCAAAUAAUCACCAUCACCAAAAGGAUGAAGGUAAGAUUAAUAACAAGACUUGUUACCACCAAAAGGAUGAUAAUGAGUCACAAUCACCAUCACCAAAAGGAUGAAGGUAUUAUUGAACAACAAAACUCGUUAUCACCAAAAUGAUGAUAAUAAGUUACAACAACUUAAAUGAUCACCAUCACCGAAAGGAUGAAGGUAAGAUCAGAACAAAACUUGUUACCACCAAAAGGAUGAUAGUAAGUCGAGACAAACUUUAAUGAUCGCCAUCACCAAAAGGAUGAAGGUAAGAUCAAAUGACAAAACUUAUUACCACCAAAAGGAUGAUAAUAAGUCAAAAACUUCACAUGAUCACCAUCACCAAAAGGAUGAAGGUAUGAUCAACAACAAAACUUGUUACCUCCAAAAGGAUGAUAAUAAGUCACAAACUUCAAAUGAUCACCAUCACCAAAAGGAUGAAGGUAUGAUCAACAACAAAACUUAUUACCACCAAAAGGAUGACAAUAAUCUUUAAUAAUGAGAGGUCUCCAUUCACCAAAAGGAUGAAGGUUGGACCCAAAACUUCAAGGAUCUUCGACACCAAAAGGAUGACGGUAAGAUCACAAAUGUCAAGGGUUUACCAUUACCAAAAGGAUAACGGUUAUCAUAAACAAGGAGAUGAUUAAUAUUAUUCCUCAAUGAACUUUCACCAAAAGAAUGAUAGUGAGAAAAAUAUUUGGAAUAAUAAAGCUACUGACAAAGUUCAAUAAACCCGACUUGUUGGGUAGUAUUAGAACGUUACUGGGUAAGACUUGCUUGGGGUAUCGACAAUAAAAGGUUGCAGAAAAAUAUUCUCUGGAAAACAUAAUUUCCAUCAACAAAAGGUUAAAAGAAACAUCUCAUCGAGGAACGCUCAAUGAGAAACAAGGUAGGGGUUUGAAGAAAAAUUGUUCGACUUAGAUGAGGGUAACACCUUAUUAACAAAAGGUUAGAGGAUGUAAAUCAACGGGGAACACCCAACAAUACAAGGUAAGAACUCACUCAGAGAAAAUAAUAAAUGACUCAACUGAGGGUUGGCCUGGACACCUACGACUAAACCUUGGAUCUUGAUUCGUGCUAUAUGCAUGAAUGUUAUGUAUGCGUUAUGUAUGAGAUGAUGUAUGCAGUGCAUGUUUGAAUGUAAAGGAUGAUUGGUUUGUUUAGAAUUGGUCCCCCCUUUUCAAAGGAGAUGUAUUUUCUGGAAACAAAUACUGGUUGUAUUUGUUUUUGUGUGGGUUCCAACAAGGUGGACUUUGGGUUUUUUGGUAAUUGCCAAUAUGAGUUUGAUUGUUGGUGGGUGAAAGGAUCUGACUUCCCGACACUUGGUAGUUUAUGAUCUGAUGAACACGCAAUGGAUGUGGAUACGCUCGAUGCCCUAAGUUUGAUUUCUUGCUGUUAUGUUGUGUCUUUGCCCCUGAGGGGAACUCGACUUCUUCUUCUGAGAUGUUGGGUCAGCUUGUAACCGAGCAUAGUGACAUGAUCAACGCAUGAUGAUUAUGCUUUUGACGUGCCGCAAGGUUUCUUGUCAAGAUGUGAUAUUGUACCGGUAUGAAGUUUUGACAUUUUGGUUGUGAUCUUAGACAGUUUCUAGUGUCUGACACAAUCUGCCUGACCGACUUGAAGAUAUGAAGUGAAUUUUCCCCUUGCAACUUGUCUUGCCCAGUCUGUAGGGUGUUCAAAGGAAUUAUCCUUGAAAGGAAACCCUUAGGAGUGAUUAUCCCAUGACAUGGUCUGAGUCUGUUUCCUCCAACGUUUGUCUCUUGUGGUGGGAUAAACACAGAAAUGGAUAACAAAUGGUUUUGAACUCGGCAUUCAUGUCGUGUGAUUUUCUCUCUUCUUCUUUUUUUCUCGUGCAUAACUCAUAGCUUUGGGGGUUUAUCCACUUUUGGCUCUUUUCAACUCAAUUCUUUGUGAGCAUUUUAAAGGUGUUAGAGUCUUAAGUCUCGGCAAGUGCAUUUUCUUUUUUUUUUUUUCUUUUUGGACAUACACAUGUCUCUACUUUUUGUAUUGCUUUUAGAUCUCUUAUUAUGCACUUGCCCUUUCUUUCAAGAUUACCACCCCAAACUUAGCUUUUUGCACAUCUUGUAACUCACAACAAUCAUGCCGAGUGAUGGGAUGAAAUGAACGAUUAAUGGUCAACAUGGGGUUUAUUACGAACAAAAUGGCUAAGGCUCAACGGGGUUCACGAAGGGUAAACAUAUAAACAUGGAUGGCUAGAAAGGCUCUGGAUUAAACAAACAACUUGCCUCAGUGCGUGUUGUCAUGCUGUGAAGUGUCAAAAGAACAUACGCAAAAUCAGAGUGAUAGAGUCAUACCUGGCUGAACUCUCAUGAUAUUUAGUGUUUGGCCUUUUUAUUCUCACCAUGUUGGUUAAACUUACAAGCUCUGAAGCCUCCUAGUGUCAUGUGGUUUCUUUUCUGAUUCGGUUCUACCAUACCGCUCUCUUGGUCCAGUGUCACCAAAUUGUGUCCGACUUUUACUUUCUCAUGGUUGCAUCAACUUCCGGGGUACCUUAAUAGAACAAGUAUGAGGGGUGUCUUUCAUCCACUACAACCGAUCCCGGAUUCGUCCACAAUUUCUCAUCACUCUGUACACACCGAUAAACAAUAAAAACAAACGUUGAAGGAAAACAUGAACAAAAUGAAAACGAAAUAAAACAUGAAAGGAAAACCCCUCCCCCCCCCCACACCUGAACUAAACAUUGACCUCAAUGUUUAAAUCCAGAUACAAAGGGGACUCACAGCGACUACUGUUGUUUUACUGCACUUGUGUGGUUUCCUUCCAUUUUGAGGUGUUUGUGACUUUAUUAAAUCCAGAUACAAAGGGGACUCACAGCGACUACUGUUGUUUUACUGCACUUGUGUGGUUUCCUUCCAUUUUGAGGUGUUUGUGACUUUGCCCUUCUAAUUCUCCUCCUCCCCUACAACAAAAUUCUAGCACACAAAAAGAAAAAGAAAAACGAAAUAAAUUAGAAAUCAAACGCGUGGGUUGCCUCCCACGAAGCGCUUCCUUUAACGUCGCAUGGCUCGACGGUUCAUUUCCCUUAUCAUGGGGGGUAUUUCAGGUUCAAAACCUUGUUGCACCUCUUGUCUCUAACUCGGACGUUGUCUCUUUUAUCAGUGUUGACUCCUUUGCACCACGUUCCUUUUUAACCUUCCUUUCGAUGUUAGGAAUCUUCCCGUUUAGGGUGGCUACUGGCAGUGGUGAGACUUUGAUAGUAUUCAAUGUCCUGAUUAAGCCUACUUGAUACUGAGAUUUUGUAUCUUCCUCCAUAUCCUGGUCUUCAAUAGCUUUCAAUGUUAUUUCCUUGUUGUGAACUUUCAAGGUUAACGUGCACUCAUCCAUGUCGAGCUCGCAUCGACUCGUCUUCAUGAAAGGUCUACCCAGAAUGAUGGGUGCCUCAUUGUCUUCAGGUAUGUCUAGGAUUACAAAAUCGACUGGGAAAGUCAAGUCCGCUAUUGUUACCAACACAUCUUCAACCAUACCAUACGCAUCUUUUCUUGAGUGAUCCGCAAACUUCAGAUUGGUCUUUAUAUCACUGAUAUUUCUAAUACCCAGCCUGUGAUAGAUCGAUAAUGGCAUCAGAUUCAUACUAGCUCCAUAACCUAUUAGUACCUUUUUGAAGGUUCUUUCUUUGAUUGUGCAUGGUACUGUGACGGUUCCUGGAUCCUUUUAUUUGUUAGGAAUGUUCUGCUCCAGGGAGUUUGCAUUAUAUUGUUCCUUACCGGAUACCUGUUCUUCAGUGGUUGGUUUCUUUUCAGCCAUUACCUCUUCCACGAAUUUCUUGUACAUGGGCAUCCUUUCAAGUGGUUCAAACAAAGCCAUAUGACCCUCAAUCCUUUUAAACAUUGUCAUGAAUUUCUCCAAGUCUGACUCACUAGGUUCCUUCUUUGUCAUUCUCUGAGGGUAGGCAACUUAAUCACCGGUUUAGUUCCUUUUGUAGUUUCUUCUUGAGUCGGCUCUCUCGGUGAUGUAAUUUUUUCUUUUUAGCAGCCUUUUUCUCUGUCGUCGUGACAGUAUUAAACAUCUCUGACCUCUCGGAUUUUGAACUGUUUCACUUGGUAGGGAACCUGGUGUUCGAGAACUUGCCAGUUGCUGGGCUAUCUGCCCCAGCUGAACUUCGAGAUUCUUUAGGGAUGCGGCGAUGUUUUUCUGAUUGUUUCUAGUCUCUUCUUCAAAUUGCCCAUUUUGAGCUGCCGUCUUUUCAAUUGCAAUCUCCCAAUCUGCCUUCUUUGGGACUUGAUUUUGCUGUUGCUGAUAUUGGUUUUGAUAUUGGCCUUGUACUUGCUGUUGCACAUUCCCUUUCUGAUCCCUCCAUGCAAAGUUUGGAUGAUUCUUCCACCCCGGGUUGUAUGUGUUGGAGUAGGGAUUGUUUUGCUUUAAAAACUUGAUAUCUUCUAUCUGUUGCGGUGUUGCAAAGCAAUGAACAGUAUUGUGUGGUCCAUUACAAAUGCCACACACAUCGUUAGGUGCCUGUUGUACUUGAGCCACUUUCUGCGCACCUAUGUUUAGUGCCUUCAACCUUUUCUCCACCUCUGCAACAACUGCUUCUUCAAUUUUUACCUGUUUGUUUAUUUUAAGCUUCAAAUCAAUUACUGCAGAUUUGCUUGACACCCUAUCAUACAACUCCAGAUGCUCAUUUGAGGAAAUUGCUUCAAUUAUCUUCUUCAUACCGGUGGCUGUUGCAAAGUUAGCUGAGCCACCAGCUGUUGAGUCAAGGAUUUGUCUCGUUUGAAUUCGAAGACCAUUAACAAACAUUUGCAUCUGCUCAGUUUCAUCCAUGUUGUGAGUAGGACAAGCCACUAGGAUUCUCUUGAAUCUUUUAUAGGCAUCUCCUAUCGUUUGAAUUCGAAGACCAUUAACAAACAUUUGCAUCUGCUCAGUUUCAUCCAUGUUGUGAGUAGGACAAGCCACUAGGAUUCUCUUGAAUCUUUUAUAGGCAUCUCCUAGUGACUCACCCUCCUUUUGCUUGAAGUUUAGGAUCUCCUAUCUUUUUCUCAGUGACAUAGAUGCGGGAAAAUAUUCCUGCAAGAAUGUUGUUUCCAUCUGCUCCCAUGUAGUGAUACUGCCAGCCGGUAAGGAAUAGAAUCACUCUUCGGCUUCAUCUGCUAAAGUGAAUGGGAACAUACGAAGCCUUAUUGCUUCUUCGUUAUGUCCAGGCAUUUUCAGCGUUGUGCUCAUAGUUAAAAAUCUUUGCGGAUGCUUGUUGGCAUCUUCAUUCACUCUUCCAGAAAAGGACCGCCUUUCGAGUUGAUUAAUUAUGCUGGGAUGCAAUUGAAAUUGUUUUACAUUAACCGGGUGGUUUACAAUUGUCAUCCGACCACCCGGAGUGUUGGUUCCACCAUUGUCACCGAGAAGUCUCUCGGGUGGUGGUGGUGGUGGUGGGUUUGCAGCCAUGAUUUCAGGAACUAUUUCCGCGUCUGAAUCUGAAUUCUCUGAGUGCACUGAAACAACUUCCUCCUCUGCUUUCUUUGCUAAUUCCAGUUUUUCUCUCUUAGCUUGUCUUAGUCUAGCACGAAGAGUUCUUUCUGGAUCUGCGUCAAAAGAAAAAUCCGCUGAGGCCUUACCUCGCAUAAACAAGUUAGACAAAUAUUAGAAUUGAAUAACAAGAUUGUCACAGAUAAAAUUUUGGUUGACGAGCAGAUAUAAAUUCACAAAACCAACCAAACCCUUGUCUUUUUGUUCAAAUAGAAUCAGAAGUAAAAUAAGUAUUUCCCCCGCAAUCCCUGAGAUCGAUACUUGGAAAUAAAAUCCUAUUACAUCAAUCGCGUAAAAAAGUACACUUGCUAAUUCCGAUCAAGUUUUUGGCGCCGUGUCGGGUAAUGCCAAAUAAAACCUAUUUUAAUUUUUAAUUCUUAUUAUGAAAUUUUACAAAAAAAGUUGCUCAGCAAACCAAAAAAUAUUUAUAUGCCUGUAGUGACACACAUCUUAUCAAUCUAAUAUUGAUACGCCAAAAUUAAACAAUUGUUUAUGCGAGACAGUAAGCCUCAAGCGGAUUUUCUUUUAUGACGACAAUCCACGAAAGAACUACUUCGUGCUAGCACUAGAGACAAGCAAACGGAGAAGAAAAACAAUGGAAUAGCAAAGAAAGGCAGAGGAGGAGGAAAGAUUGUUUCAGUGCAACUCAGGAGAAUUCCGAUUCAGACGCGGAAAAUAAAUACAAAAAUCGUUCCUCGACAAUAUCAAAUGGCAAUGCAAAACACCCACACCACACAACAACAACACUCCAAACCACACCACACACCUGAGAAAAAAACUUAUCGAACCAAGAUAACAAGAUUGAGUGGAAAACCAAACCACUCCGGGUAGUGGACGAUGACAAAAUGUGAAACACCCAGGUAUGAUUAAAAACACAUUAAAUUACAAUUGUACCCAGCAAUAAUUAAAAUGCAAACUCGAAAAGAACGACACGUUCAUUUAUAUAAAUCUGGAAAGAUAAAAAAAGAUACAGCGAGUAAACAACAAAACAUUGUUGAAUGAAAAAAUGGUAGGAACCACAAACAAAAGAAAAAAGCAAACAAAAAAUACAAACCAACGAGGACAAAAAAACAAAAAAAGAAGAAAAGAGAAUAAAGAGAAAUAAUUACUUAACUCAUGAGCCAACAACGGCUUGAGAAAAUGCCCUGAACCAUAACGAAGAAGCAAUUAAGGAGUUCGCUAGUCCAUUACUCUUAGCAGAUGAAAGUCACGAAGGAGGUGAUAUACAUCAUCAAACUUAAAGCCGAAAAAAAGUGCUCGGCCAAAGAAUCAACCACAUCGGAGCAAGAGUGGAACUAUAAAACACAACAUUCUUGCAGGAAUAAUUAGUCGACAUAUAUAGAGUCCACUAGGAGAAAAAAAAAGAAAUAAAAAAAAAAAGAACCAAAGCAAUUAAAAUAGCAAAAACAGCAGCCUGGGCAUUGUUACAGGAAGCAUCAAUCAAAUAAACCAACACAAAACACGAAAUUCAAAUUUCUGGAAAAAUUAAAAACAUGUAAGCUACAUUGAACAAGCCAGGGUUCUAUGGUUUUUUUAGAAAACAACAGCCAUAACAACCACAUCAUCAUUCAAAACAGCAACCAAAAACAACAGCAUUACAAAAUAUGCUAUUUCGACAGUGGAAUUCUCUUUCUGAAAGACAUGACUGAUUUGGCAACUAACAUAACCAGCUGCAUUCAUCAUCCUUCUACUAAUGUUAACCUACAUCAAUCAUAUAACAAGAUUUCAGAAUAGAGAAAGGCCCUAGUUCACAGAGGUGAACAUUCCCUCCCUCUCUUGGCAACCUAAGACAAGAGUCCUCUCCGUUUCACUACCUCCUGCCGAUUCCCCGGUUGUUCCCCCCCCCCCCCUCCCCCCGUUGUUGAGAGCAGAUUACCUCCUUGUGAAGUUUUAGCACUCUCCGCACAUUCUUCCUUUUUUCUCCAUGACCCCAUAGAGCGGGGACCAUCUCCUCCGCAAGCGGCACCCCCCCAUAAGCCAAAACCAAACACAAACAACCAAAUUCGGAGCCCAAGUAUGCUGGGCUAUUGUUAUUUGUUCAAACAACAGCAAAGCAAUCAUGUUCAUCAUGCAAUCAAACAGUCGAUCACAAUUGAAACUCAAACUAGCAGUGGGCGUAGCAAACAUGGGCAUUUGGUACAAGUUUGUUCAUGCCAACAUCACUUCACUCACACAAUCUGUCCCAAAAGUCUAAUUAAUUGUUUAACAACAGACAAGCAUAAGGCAAAGGAAAUUCCUGAUGAUGGCGCAGAGCUAAUAUUAUGAACCACAACCCAAACAGGUUAAUUAGCGAAUAUCAGAGAAUUCCUACAUCUCGCAUGGCUUCUCUCAAUUAUACAUCAUAACAAGUGUCGUGGAGCAAUAGGAAACCACAAUCAACCCAAAAUGGCCGUUAGCAUUGUGGCUUCGUCGCUAUUAAUGGAACAUCACAGGCCUUAGCAACAUCAACAACAACCAAAUUCUACAAACAUAUAGACACGUGUGGUGCAUCAUANUGGUUGGUUUUGUGAAUUUAUAAUAAUAAACACAAAAAGAUAGUAGAAAUAAUUGAUUAAGAUAAAAUAUGCUAGGGUGAGUGGUUGAUUUAACCAGUUAUGAAUUCAGUCAAGAUUUCCUUAAUACACAUGAAACAUUCAAUUACCUAACCGCAUAAUGUUCUUCCUUAAGUCCUUAAGGAAGAAACUAUUAAACUACCAAUUCUUACUCAAAUGUCCAUUCAAUUAAUCAUUGGUUUUAAUCAUAAACAAUAUCAAGGUUUAUGGUGAUUCACAAAUGUUCCUAGUCCUAGGUGAUGCAAUUAUAAACCCAAUUGUGUGAAAACACUAACAAUCACAAUCCUGUUAUUGAUAGUCAUAGAUCUAUUUGUAUUUGUCUGAUACAAAAGCAUAAGCACAUCAGACAAUUGAAUUGAAAUUCGUAACAUAGUAAUAAGGAAAUCCAUAGAUAGAAUUCAUAACAUCAGACCAAAUCAGGACCACCCCCCUAGCAUUGGGGGUUUAGCCUCUCAUAGUAUUCAAAGAAAUCAUAGUAUAGAAAUUAAACAUUACAAAGAAUGAGGAGAUUUUGAUCUUCAAUGGGUGAUGCCCUUGAAUCUCGCCGUCUUUGAAUCCUCCGUAGUAGCUAUCUUCUCCGGUGCAAUGUUUCUUUUCGUACGUCAAAAAGUGUCUUCUCUAUCUCUCCAAAGUCUUUUAAUAGCCUCAGAUGGUUUUUCCCCAGUAAGAAGUCCAAAAUACCCUUAAUGAACAGGGCAGAUCCACACAACAAAAAGUAAAAUUUCUCAGCCGCGCCCAUCAACACUGGCAGUGUGGAUACACAUGGGUGCCCGUGUUGAUUCACACGGGCCGUGUGAAUUUACAUGGGUACCCGUGUUGUUUUCAAGAGUUAUGUUUUUUAAAGCAAGCUACAGAGGCAUCAACACGGGCCGUGUUGAUGCACACGGGUGCCCGUGUUAACCCUCUAUUUUACCUCCUGGAGUGCUUGUUUCCGGACAAACAACACGGGCCGUGUUGAUGUACACGAGGGCUCGUGUUGACCUACUGUAUCUUCAUAUUUUGGCCUUCCGGAGCAUCCAAUACUCGGCUAUUAGUCCUUUGGAACCUAUGCACAACCUGCAACAUUAACACUACCAAAUCGAAGCAUAAAAAGAGACUUUUUGACAUAAACAAGUAACAAAAUGCAAUGCACUAAUAAACUAACAAAACUUGUUAAAUGACUUUAAAAUAACUAAAAACAACCACAAGUCUGACCAAACUGAUGAAAAUAUGUCGGAUAAAAGGUGGGAAUUCAAUGGAAAUGGUGACCGAUCAUCGGUUAUUCUUCUGUGCUUCAGCCAAGCUGACUCACCGAUACAACACUCGCGCCAAUCAACCCAAGAUCUUGGAACAUUUGGAACAAGAGAACAAGGAGCUGAAGGAUGAGAUUGCAUGGUUGACUUCCAUGAUGGAGGUUGUUCUUGCUCCGCAUAAUCAGUCUUCACCAACUCCCGCAACUCCUCCAUAGAGGAUUGUCGUUUCUUAGGUUUCUACCUCGACUAUUCCUGUUGAUGUUAGCCAAUCCGGGUUUUCUAUGCCUGCUGGAUUCCCAUAGGAAAUGCCGCCAACAUUUGUGCCUGAAGGGUUUAUGCCUACCUUUGUUUCUAUGCCAGAAUCUAGCCCGAUCAUGUCUAUGCCUCCUCUAGUUGUUCAUACUUUGCCUCGUGUUGAGGGCACCAUCAACCAUUCUGAGACAUCUGAGGGACCAGAUGUUUAUGAGAAGAUGGAUGAAAUAAAGGAUCGGUUCCUUGAGUUGCAAAAAGAGAUGAAAACAUUGAGAGGAAAGGACCUGUUUGGUAAGAGUGUUGCUGAACUCUACUUGGUACCAAAUGUGAAAAUCCUGAUGAAGUUCAAGGUCCAUGACUUUGAAAAGUAUAAGGGAAAUGCUUCUCUAUUUAGUCACCUUGUUAUGUACGCCAGGAAGAUGUCAACUCAAACUAAUAAUGAUUAGUUGUUGAUUCACUAAUUUCAAGACAGUUUAAUCGGUGCUACUCUGAGAUGGUAUAUGGAUCUAGACAGUGCAAGUGUUCAUACUUUCAACGAUUUGGGUAAAGCUUUUGCUAAGCAGUACAAGUAUAAUGUGGAUAUGGUGCCUGAUAGACACCAAAUAAGGUAUAUGUCUCAGAAGGAUAAGGAGACGUUUAAAGAGUAUGCUCAGAGGUGGAGGGAACUUGCUGCUCAGAUUAAUUCUCCAUUAGAAGAGAAAGAGAUGACGAAGAUUUUCCUUAAGACCUUGAGUUCAUUUUAUUACGAACGUAUGAUUGCCAGUGCCCCUAGUGACUUUACCGAAAUAGUAAACAUGGGGAUGAGGUUAGAAGAGGGAGUCCGUGAUGGACGUCUGUCUAAGAAAGAAGCGUUGUCCAAUAAGAAGUAUGGAAGUGGUUUCUCCAAAAGAAAAGAGGCGGAAACUAAUUCACUAUCUGUAGGGAGGCUGAGGAGGCCUCAUGUUAGAAGGAGUUCCCAACCACGUCAGCAUCAACAUCAAGUCUUUUCAGUGAUUCCCGUCUUUUCCAAUAGUUCCAUUAAUCAACUUGUUCCAAUUCAACAACAACAACAACGUCAACAACAACCGCAGCAAAGAACCACCACCACCACCAACAAUAAUCAACAAUAAAACUUUGAGAGGAAGAAGGUCUCUUUUGACCCUAUUCCUAUGUCAUACGCCGAAUUAUAUCCAUCCUUGGUUCUCAAGAACCUACUUCAACCCAGAAAUCCACCGCAAAAUCCCGAGCCACUUCCAUGGUGGUUCAAACCUGAACUCCGUAGUGCCUUUUACCAAGGAGCCCCUGGCCAUGACAUUGAUAACUGCUAUCCAUUGAAGUAUGAAGUACAAAAGCUUGUGAAGAGUGGGAUGGUGUCGUUUAAGGACCGUGCGCCUAAUGUGAAAGCCAAUCCUUUACCUGCUCAUGGUAAUGCUUCAGUCAACAUGGUUGAUGGUUGUCCUGGGGAGUUCAAUAUUUAAGACAUCCACUAUAUCAGAAGGUCCUUAGUGGCAAUGCAUAAGGAUAUUCGUAUGGUUAGUGAAUGUGAGCAUGACCAUGAUGGUUGUGCAAUCUGUAGUGUGAACCCUCGAGGAUGUGUUAUUGUCAAGAGGGAUAUUUAAAGGUUGGUGGAUGAAGGUCUUAUCCAAAGUUUUCAAUCCCGUCACUUGGGAAAUGAUGUUAAUGUGAUUGUUCCUAUGUUUAAGACCCCUGAGUGGGUAGUAAUCCAGUUCAAUAGUAGUAGCAGUAACAACGUUAAUAGAUCGGUAUCAUCGUUAGUAAUACGGUUAACAGGCCCCAUCCCGUAUGCAUCCGAUAAAGCUGUGCCUUAUCAGUAUAAUGCCACAAUGGUGGAGAAUGUCCAAGAGGUUCUGUUUCCCGUAGCAGAUUUUGUGGUGAAUAUAGCUGAUAUUGCAAAGGUGACCCGUAGUGGUCGUGUCUUCAGCCUGUAAGAAGGUGGAUGUGCCUGUGGUGAAUCCAGUUAGUGCUCCAGUUUGUCAGUCUGGUGAAUCCAUCAAGCUGAAGCCUAAUGAUAAUGAUGAAGUUUUGAGGUUGAUAAAAAGAAGUGAAUUCAAUGUGGUGGGGCAGCUUAUCUAAACCCCAUCAAAGAUUUCAGUGUUGUCUUUGUUCAUGAACUCCGAAGCACAUAGAGAAGUGUUGCAGAAAGUCUUAGAGCAAUCCUAUGUUGAGCAUGAUAUCACUGUGUGUAGCGGUAAAUUCAUGAUCAUCCAGCUAUGGAUAAGCUGGAGAUCAAUAAAACCAGAGUCGCCACCGCGCUUUUAUUAUUUUCAAGGGAAAAGGGAAAAAGUACGAACAAAACCCAAAAGUAAGAAGUUUUCAAAUCAAAACUAAUAAAAUGUCAGAGAUUACAGGUAAGGGGGUUGGUUACACAGAGGGAAGGUGUUAGAACCCAAAGUGUUCUAGGUACUCCAAGGGAGCCCUUUCUUGUGUGCGUAUGUAUUUUGUACAAAGUGAUGUUUACAAACAAAUAGAAUGGAGGGAUGAGAAAAGAAUUCAUUAAUUAUAUUUUUAUGUUUGAAAAGACCUUCGGACUUAUGCCUACAUACUGUAAGACCCUAAUUUUGACCCUAAGAUCCCUCAUGGCAUCAUAACAUUGCAUUUGCAUCAUAGCCUCAAGGAAAAUUUGCAUCUUGGUUCCCUUUGCCUUUGGGUGGGAUCUCUUGAGAUUUGGUUUGAGAUCACCAAGCAUGCUUGAAUUGUAUAUUAUUGCUUUUCUCAUUUUAUUUACUAACCAAAAGCACAAAAAUAUGUCACUAACAUCUUUUGUUUGUAGCUUGAGCAGUCAGUAUAUUAUUGCUUUUCUCAUUUUAUUUACUAACCAAAAGCACAAAAAUAUGUCACUAACAUCUUUUGUUUGUAGCUUGAGCAGUCACAAGGUCUAAAGCUUCUAGGAGAUCCUAUGUGCAUUGAUAUGGUUAAGAGAAGGUGAAAGCAAGCAUGGAAAUGGUUCCUAAAGCUAUCAUCCAUCAAAUAUGCCUCCCAAGUAUCUCAAUUUAUCAUUUUGAUCAAAGCAAACAAGGGGCUUGAGGCUUGUUUUCCAAGGGAACCCUACUUCAUCUGUUCAUCAACUAUGCCUUGCUCAUGAAGCAACCUCAGCCCAUGAUCAAAUUCAAUCAAGGGAAGUUCUUUAAUUCAUCAUUUCAUGCAUAUUUGAACUUAUUUGAGUGUCCUCAAUCAUCAACUCAUCAAGAUAUGAGUUUUGGACUUGAGAAGUUGAUCAGUCAAUUCAUCUAACCAUUUUGAAAUGCACUGAGACCUAACUUUUUAUGUGUUUGUCAAAUGGAGAUUACCCCAAGAGAAAAAAUGUUCUUAAGUAAUAUAUGAACAACUUUCAUGUUCAUCAAAAUUGAUUUGAAGCUUGGAAGGUCAUCAUCCAUUCCAAGACAUUAUAGGUCAUUUUGACUGAAACCCUAAUUUUAGGUCAACUUCCUAAGGACAUAACUCCUACAUUUUUCAUGAUUUUGAGGUGAGAUCUAAUGAAUUGGAGAGAGUAAGAUAUCUAAUUCAAAUGUUAUGUUUAGCAAAAUUGAAAAACCUCAAAAGAAAUACAUGUUAUAAUGCAAAACAUUAUAGGUCACUUUGGACCAAAUGCAUUGAAAUGUGAAAAAGUCCAACUUCAAGUGCCCAUAACUUCUUCAUCAAAAAUCCAAAUGAUGAAAAAUUUAAGUCCAAAUUGAUUGCCUUGAGACGAUCUACAACUUGCAUGUUGAAUAUUUUGUCAUUUGUAGUUUUCAUCAUUGAGACAGAAGGGCUUGAACAUUGGCCAAUUUUGAAAAUUUCACAUAUGCAUGUUUUGCACCCUACACUUCAAGUUCAAUUUUCAUUAAUUUCCAAGGCCCAAAUGGAGUUUUGAUCACAUUGGCCAAUUUUGAAAAUUUCACAUAUGCAUGUUUUGCACCCUACACUUCAAGUUCAAUUUUCAUUAAUUUCCAAGGCCCAAAUGGAGUUUUGAUCAACAUAACAUUUGUUCCUUAUGCAAUAAGAUUUCCAACCAUUACCCAUAAGGCUAUGUUUCAAUUUUGGAAGUAUCAUUUUCGAAGAGGGGAACUUUUAGUGCAUUUUUGGAAACUUGAUUCAAUUGCCAUGCAUGAUCCAAAUACAUAUCUUCUGCACGUCCAAAACAUAUUUGGUGAUGUUUAGCUUACCAUUCCAAUCAGAAUUGGGCCCUCCAUGCGCCUGUACUGGCCCAUGCAUGGAGGGCCUUUUCAUCCAUGCACACACUUUGCUCAUGCUUGCAGCUCCCUUCAUCUAUAAAUACAAGGCCUUGGCUUCAUAAUUGGACAACCUGAAGUCACCUGUUAUGCUGCACGAAUCCCUCCAUAGCCAUACUUAAAGGAACUUUCUCUUUUUCUUCAAAUUUUCAGAUCUAAAUUUCAGCUACACUGGUUGAUUUCUAGAUCUAUAGUUCCUAAACCUUGCUCAUCUUCAUCACUAGACUACACUGCAAGCAUUAGCAAAGGCGAAUUGUGCUCUCAAGAUCCACAUUUCAAAGGUGGAUAUCAGAACUUAUUUUCUCCGAAACUCUUUAUUCAUAGCUUAUUUCUUACAUUUGCUGGGUUGUGUGAAGUCCUCUCAAUAGAGGCAAUUGUUUUGUGCUUUGAAUUUUGCAAAUCCAUCAAGUUUCAGUUGAACACCAUAUUUUUCAACCUCUGAUUUCUCUCUCCAUGAAAGUCUAGAGUGAAAAUAGAUGGUACAGGGGUGAUGUACAUCACCCCAGCUUUACAUUGUUGUAUAGAUCGCCUCAUUUGGUGAAGGUUUAUUUUCUGCAACUCUCGUCGGAAUCUCUGGUCUCGCCGGAGAAGACGGUGGUGUACACCACCGUCCGUUUGCCAGUUUUGAUCCAGGUCGUUGAUGAUGAUUCCCAGAUUGAAUCAGGGCUCUUGGAUCUUAUGACUUUUUUUAAGUGUUUAUGUUGCUUAGUUGACUUAGGUCCAUGAUACGCGCGCAUGCCACAACCGUCUGAUCUGCCAGGUCAAUUAAUGAAUUGAAUCCAACGCGUGUGGUUUUUCCUAAUUUUCUAUUUCUGAUUUUAAUUUCCAUUUUAUUUCUCUUAUUCCAUUUCAUUUCAAAAAAUCAUAUCUCAUUCAUUAUUGAUCCAAAAAAUGUGAGACCAAUUGCAUUAUUUCUCUUUUAAUUUCUAGUUUCUAAAAAUGAUUUUUAAUAUUUUUUAUUUUAUCAUUUGAUAUUUUUCAUGAAUUUUCUCUUUUCUGGUUAUUUUUAAAUUUGAAGUUUGACCUUUCUUUAUUAUUUUAAUUCAAGUUUUAUUUAAAUAUUAAAAAAUGCCAAAAAUAUUUUAUUUGUUUCUUGACUUCUAAUUCUCAUUUUGCUUCUGUUUUCUAUUAUUUGACCUUGAUCUUCUCUAUCAUUGGUCAAUGUUUGUUGAUUAGUACAUACCAUUUCCAUCAAUGCACUUUAAUUCUUCAUUUUCUUCUUCUUCUUCUUCUUCUUUUUCUUUUUUGGAUCAAUGAGUUAAAGAUUGGUGGUUAGCAUUGAUUAGGGAGGUUUAAUCUUCCUUGAUUCAAAUCUAAUUCAUCUUUAUCAUGGAUCAAGUGAAUGGCUUUGCAUUAAGGAUAAAUUGCUUCCUAAAUCAUGCAAAGAACCUAAAUCAAUACAAGAUCAUUUCUCAUCUUCUUUUUGGCAUGGAAAGUUGUUGGAGUUUGAUUCACUAAUCAAGACCUCUAACUUGUGUUGUUGCCUACAUUAUUAUUGACCGGCCUCAGAUAGUUAUAGUUGUGACUUCUACAUAAGUCCAAUUACGAUUGCUUAACAUAGCGCUAAAUUUGCCUUAUGGCACACUAACUACUAACAUUAACCAUUAACCAUUAACAUUUAAUUCUUGCUCUUUACAUUUAUGAUAUUUAUUAUUCUUGUACAUAUUAUUCAUUUUCUUUUUCCUUUGCUCAUUUGAGCACAUGUUUAUGUUAAUGCAAUUUGCCUUUUGCUCACUUGAGCAUAUAAUUGUGUAUAUAUUAUUGUGCUUGUGUUUUGUUUAAUUGUUAUGGACCAAAUGCAAAGAAAUAGACAAAUGGACUUAGUUUCUAGGAUAUUCCCUAUGCAAAUUGGAGUAAAAGGAUCUUAAUAUUGAAGAUGGAUUGGAAGGACCAAACCUCUAAACUCACUCUUGUCCAUUCUUGAUUUGCUUCAUAAGACUCUUUGAUGUGUGUGUGCUUUUGUGCUAGGGGAUCCUAUGAGAUAUCAAAUUGAAGAAUCAUUGCCAUGUUCAUCCAAAUUGAAAGAUACAAGAGGCAUUGGGGAUCUUCUAAGAGCUUGUUUGAUUAUGUUGAUUGCUUGAGCUUACUAUUAUUUUGCUUGCAUAUUCCAAAGGAUGGGAGCUACUUGGAUCAUCAAUAUGAUCACAAGAGAGGAACUCCAUUUGUGGUCUUAUUUCUUAUCCCUUAUCUCUUAUAUGACUAGGACUUUAGCCAUUCUUUUCCCUUCCUCCACUCUAACCCAAGCUAAAACUUUUGUGCAAACAUUUAACACCUCUUUCUACACAUUAGAAACCUAAGCCUUAUGCUUUUCAUUUUCAAACUUCCUUUUAAUAACACUUAUUUUGAAUUGAAUCUUUAAGUCAACUUUGACCAUAUUUUGUAAAUACUUUUCAUUGGUAAAUAUAACCCAUUCAAAUACUUUUGUGGUUUCAAUGGCCAUUUCUAAUCAAAAUUUUUUCAUAACCUUUAGCUAUUAGGUUUGAGUUAUCCUUGAGGUUGAUGUAAUACUCACCUAUAUCCUUAGUGAUGGACAAUGAGUCUUCCAUGCUUAUUAUAGGGUUAACCCCUCACUAGCAUGUUAAAGCUAUCCUCACAUGGUGGAUUUGUGGUUUAGGUUGAGUUUUCUCCCUUGGAUAACAAAAGACCUUAAGGCUUUUGGACCAAUCAAUUCACCAACUCAUUUUUAAUAUUUUUACCCCGAACUACGAGGUUUUGAUCCUAAUCUUUUUUAAGAUGGUACGUAGGCAAUGGGUUUAUCCAUCCAAACACAAAAGGUAAAUAACUUGUAUAUUCUCUUCUCAUCUCUUCAAUCGUGUUUGCACAAACAAAUUUUCACAAAAUACCAACCUUACAACAAGUAUGAAAAUAGCUCCCUAGGAGUACCUAGGAUGUUUUGGGUGCUUAAAACCUUCCCAUUGCAUAACCAACCCCCUUACCCCGAUCUCUGACAUUUUUACUAGUUUUUGAUUCGAUAAAACUUUUAGGUUUUUGUUCAUAACCAUUCCUUUGGAUAAAUAGAAGUGCGGUGGCGACUCGACUUGUAUGGUUUACCUUGGAUUUAGUCAAUAUCUCUAAUGGUAACGAAUACCCUGCUACAGAAAAGUGGCGACUCUGCUGGGGACAUUUGCCUAGUGGGUUUUUCCUACUGUAAUACCCCAAAAUUUACCCUUCAUUUUUUCUGGAAGCAUGGGAUUAUGUUUUACAUUUCAUUAGCAUCAUACUAGGUCAUACUCAUUGCAUACUGCAUUAGUGACAUGGAAAUCAGGUUUUGAUUGAUCAUUCCUUGACAGAAGGAGCCCACAUAAAUCAAGAUUUAGAAUUGGACUUCAUUCUCUAAGAAUACAAGUCUCAAAGGUCUCGGGGGGCUCUAGGUGUCUUAUUAUGGUCCUUAGCUCAUCAGUGAAAGAUUCAGAGCUAUCAGAGUGUUCAUCUAGAUUUAAUCAAGAAAUUAGGGUUUAAGGCUACCUGCAACAGGCAAUGUUUGGUUGGAAGUAGAGGAGCUCAUCCAUGUCAUGAUUGGAGAGGCAUCUUGGCCUAGGAAGACUCACAAUUAUCUCAGAAAGAUCCAUUGGCAAGCAGUGCAACAGUCCCUAAUCAUUUUGCCCCAAAUUAGGGUUUGGUAUAAAUCAGCUUAUUUCUGAUUCUUUGGGUGAAACUAUUUUCCCAUGGCCCCAUAUGUCCACAUGGGUCUACAUACAAAAAAUCAGCUCUUUAUUUGAGUCAGAAGUGCUUCAAUUGAUCAAUGGAAUCGGGAAUCAGAUAGUUUGGGAAAAGUCAACUGUGGGCCAAGAAAGUCAACUCUUGACAUUUGGAGAGUGGAAUCUCAAAUCCAUGCCUAGGGGAUCCAUCAUGUGAAAUUGUCAGUUGGAUCUUGGAUUCAUCAUUUAAUCAGGAAUUGGAAAAGUUACUUAAUUUGGAAAUGGUUGACUUUCCAUUUAGGGCAAGUUUUCAUGAUUGUUGCACUCACUUUAAGCCCAUUUUCCAUCAAAAUAAAAGCUCCAUUUGAAAUUUUCUCCAACAUGAAAAUUGUUCAUCUUGUUCCAAGCUUUCUAGAUAUAUAAAGUUUUCUCCAUUUGGAUCAAAGUUGAAAAACUUAUGCUUGGUCAAAGUGACACAUUUAUUUAGGAUCUUCAAAGUUUGUCAAGACUUCUUGGCCAGUUUUCUUGCACUUCAAGGCACCAAUUGAAAAUGUUUUCUUCACAAUAAUUAUACCUUUCCAUGUCCUCUUUCACCUCCUUUUGGAAUCAUCUCAUUUGGAUCCAUGGUUUGAGAGAUGGAUUCAUCUAAAGUUGGCAUCAUGACUUGAAUUUCUAGGCAGCAUGUUAGGCCAAACUGGCCCAACCAUUUUGGCAUGGUGAGACCUGAACUUGAGGCCCAUUUUUCACCUUCUUCCAUUCAUCAUUUAGGCAGCAUGUUAGGCCAAACUGGCCCAACCAUUUUGGCAUGGUGAGACCUGAACUUGAGGCCCAUUUUUCACCUUCUUCCAUUCAUCAUUUCCACUUGUGCUCAACAUGAAAGAUGCUAUACUCCAUGGUCUUGCUACUGUUUGCAUCAAAGAUACAUGGCCACAAAGUCACCAUCUUGUGUAAGAGCCCAUUAAGAAUAUAUGACCCAUCAUAUGUAAGAACAAAAACCCUAAAUCUGAAGGUCAUAGUGAAUUUUAGAGCUAAGCAAGGAGGGAGUUCAUUCAAGUCAGAUUUCAUUUCUUUUCCAUUUCUCAAAGUUGAAGUUUCAAAGCACCAUUCUUCUUCCAUUUUCUCCACAACCAAGAGGCAGUGGACCUAGCUUCCACUAGGUAAUCAUCUUACUCCUUCUUCCAUGGCCAUGUAUAGCUUAUUAUGCUCAUCAUUAUGCUUGCUUCAUGCCAUUACCAUGCUCAUCAUCAUGCUGGUUUCCAUGUUAAUAUUAUGCUAUGCUCAUUUCUGAAGCCCUCAACAUGAGACAAUGUUCAUGUUGUGGAUUUGUUUUGUUUAUUUCUGCUCACACUCGUGGCCAUGUUGUCCUCUUGUUGUCAAUAUUUCUCCAUGAUUAAGCCAUCAUUUAACCUAAAACAAGUCACCAUGUUAAUCCUUGCAUUUCAUACUUGAUGUCUGGUUUUUAUUUCGUGUCUUUUGGUGCACUAUGGCAUGCGCAUUCUUGAGUGGAAGUUUGGAAAAACUCACUUCAUUUUCGCGAUUUCUGCAUGAUUAUGGCAUUAGGGUUUGGUUUGAGGAAGGAGAUGAUUACGUGUCAUCUUAGGAACCGUUAGAUCCAAGGCAUGUGUUUUAAUCCUGGCCAUUUAUUUGUUUUUGUCCUCUAGUGACUUAAGUACCCGUGACCAAUUGAUACAAGGUUACUUGAUUUAAUUUAUUAAAAUGUUAUUUGUUGUCACGCUGGUUUAAUAAUUGUUUGGACUGGGCCUGCGCUUUCCCGCUCUCCACACCCCCAAGUUCCAGGGCCCAUCAACACUAAUACUUUCUCUUUUCAUUUUCUUUUUUUAAUUUCCAUUUAUUUGCUGUUUUGAUUUUAAUUAUUUUAGAAUAUUUUCUUUAUUCAUAAAAAUCCCCAAAAAUAUUGUCCACAUUUCUUAAUGCCUUAUUUAAUUUUAUUUAAUUUUUAUUUUCGUAUUUAUUUAAUGUUAAUAUUUUAUUUCAAUUAUUAAUUCUAAAUGGUUCUUUUAAGCAUACCUUNUUUAUUUAAUUUUUAUUUUCGUAUUUAUUUAAUGUUAAUAUUUUAUUUCAAUUAUUAAUUCUAAAUGGUUCUUUUAAGCAUACCUUUAAUUCUUGAUUUUAUUUUCAUGGCUUAAAAUUAUUUUUAGCCUUUGAUUUUUGGGAUGAAGGUUGACCACUGUCCCAUGGUCAACCUGACAUUUUCUUGAUUUUUUAUUUCACAAUUUUCUAUUUAUUUGAUAACUAUUUUGGUUGGUUGACUUUUAGUUUGACCUUUAUUUUAUUUCAAUUAAUUCAUGAACCAAUUUUCAUUAUUUUUGAAAUCUUUUUGGGGGAUGAUGAUGUCCUGACCCCACCUCAUUUAGUUUAAUUUUUCAUAAUUUUCUUGAUUAAUUUGCUAUUUAUUUGACAUUUUUUAAGUUGACUUGAGCUUUCAGUUGCCUUCUUUAUGAUCGAUGUUUGAGUUAGGGAUUGCUUAUGGCAAUUGAAGAGACCUUUUGAUCCUCCCUUGUUCAUCUCAUAUGCCAUGUAUUAGAGGCCUUUUAUCUUGAUUUUAUUUGGUCCUUACCUCAUUUCCGGAUUAAAUUUUUCAGUGGACCCCUUUUGUGCAUCUUUUCAUCUGUCUGAUUCAUCUGAUAUUUGUUAUACUUGUUUCUUUCAUCCAUGCCUUCUUUUGCUUGAUUGUUUAACAUGUUCAUACUUCCUAUGCAUUGUUUAAUGCUCCAUCAUAUCAUUCUUUGAUUAUUUGACUUGAUUAUAUACCUGUCAUAUACUCUUAUUGUUUGAUAACUGUUGCCUACUUGUAUGAUGAUUGAGGCAUAUAUUCUUAUUGUUUGGUCGCCGUGAACCAUCCCCAUUUGUAACAAAUGUACCCCUCUCCCAAGAAGUGUAUAAUAUUUAUUCUCUCAUUCUUUAUUCAUCUGUUAAUACAAGAAUUAAAACGAACAUCCGAUAAUCAUUUCAAAACAAGAUCAAAAGCUCGACCCAACGUCGAGUAAUCAUUUUCAAAACUUAACAGAACCAGCAUGUAUUCAUUCAUCCUCUUGUAAGUCGAUCUCCUCAGGCAUCGCCAUUUCUCUUGUAAGUCGAUUGCUUCAGGAAACACCAUCUACCUCUUGUAAGUCGAUUGCUUCAUACAUCGCCAUCUACCCUUAUCCGUGGCUCCUCUCCUCGCUCCAUCCGUCAACUCUUGUUCUGUUUAGGUAACACCCAUUAGGUAGAACCUUUUGUAUUAUAACAUAGGUAGAAUUCCCUUAUUCUUUGCAUGCUAACAUUAGGUAGAUGUUUCCCUUCUGUAAAUCCUAAUACAUAGGUCCACAUUGCAUGACAACUCUAGGGCAGAGCUUCCCCACUUUUAGACCUUCCGUGCGUCUCCGAUCUUGUGGCAUGUCAAUCCGUUCUAUUGCAAAGAGGUAACUGCCUAAGACUCGAUUAGAGCUUCCCCACUUUUAGACCUUCCGUGCGUCUCCGAUCUUGUGGCAUGUCAAUCCGUUCUAUUGCAAAGAGGUAACUGCCUAAGACUCGAUUCAGCGAGCUGCGACACCUACUGCUAGGAUGUUGACCACAUUGCCCACUUUCCUUUGACACAGCUGGUGUCCUCUUUUGUAAGUCCAUGUUCAGAUGGAAAUCCAUAACCCCUAGUUAGGCGAACUACGACAACUCUGAUUCUCAUGUUCAGAUGAGAUACGUAGGCACGAGAUGUGAUGUCUUGCCGAGUUUGACUAACGACUAACAACUAAUCCUUGUUUACUUUCCCCCUUGCUGCGAUUCUUUUCUCUCGCCCUCGUUGCGAUCGAGACCUUCCCUUUCUCUUGCCCUAGUUGCAAUCGAGACCCUUGUUCCCGUAGUUAGCUGAACUACGUUUUUCUCUGAUUCUCAUGUUCAGAUGAGAUACGUAGGCAUAAGACACGAUGUCUUAGAGAGCACACUUCUCUUUCGCCCAUAGGUAGCUGAGCUACGAAGACUCUGAUUCUCAUAUUCAGAUGAGAUACGUAGGCAGUGGAUGCGACAUCCUUGCGAGUCAUUUUAUUUUAACCCUUCUUUUAGUAAAUAGUACCUUAGAUAUACCUACACCCUUUAGACUAGAACAACAAGAGUGGAUCCCGUAGAGUACUACAGAUGCGUAGGGGUGCUAAUACCUUCCCUUCGCAUAAUCGACUCCCGAACCCAAGAUUUGGUUGUGAGACCUUGUCUUUUCCUUCUCUUCAGGUUUUCUUCAAUCGUUUCCUUUCCCUUCUUUGGGAUAAAUAACGAACGGUGGCGACUCUUCUAUUUCUUUUUCUUCGCCGGUUGUUUUUUUUCGCACCAGUUGCGACAGCUGGAGACUCUGUUGGGGACCCGGUUUCCCUAUGCGAAUCCCUCCUAGCUUUUGUGAGUUUCUUGUUUGUUGGGUGUUUAUUCUUUUAUACAAUUAUUUACUUUCAGCAUUUAUCUGCUUUAUCUUAUUGCAUUAUGUACAUAUGAUUGUUGUAUCUGUUGGAUCUGUGGGGUUGGUUGUUUGUUGGGAUGGGUUGUUCUAUGAGAGAUAAGCCCACUACCCAGGCUUGAGCGUACACACAGGUUUUAGAGUGGAUAGUCAUGAGGCUUGCAUAGUAUGUUGCUACGUUAAGUCGUUCACGAAGACCCACACCAUGAUGAGGUUUCUUUUGGAUAUAUUCUGUCCUAUGAGUGUUCCAUAACGACAGACGUUCCUUUAGAAAUCGUCGACUCUGGUGACCAUUUCCCGAGGACUCAGUCGAGGGCUCUCCUCCGAGACGCGGUUAUGUUAGCUCUGGUGGGCACAUUCUCGCUGCUCAAUCCGAGGACCCCGAGGCUGGGAAUUGCUUUUAGGAUGUCCUGUUGAGGGGAGUCAGUGGAGGUCUUUUGUCUCGUAAUAAUGCUAAACCUUCAGUAGUAAACGUAUUAUUCUCGACUGAAGGACUAGAAGCUAAUGAACUUCUGUUCUUGGAACCUACCAGUGAGGGGCGGGCUAAAUUCAGGAAACCUUAACCUUCAACCAACCCAGUUUUCUGGUAUUCUUGUUGGAACAGAGCUUUGAUCUCUUAUAUGUUCCUCAGUGGUUUUCUCUUCAGACAGUGCGACCUGACAGUUGUUCAAGCAGAUACAGCAAUCAUGAUUCCCAUGUCACUGCAUUGCAUCACAUCAUUUUGCAUUCAUAUCAUUUAACACAUGUUUAUCCAUUACUAGGGGUUUAUAUCUUCUUCUUGAUUCUAGUCGGGGUUUUCUGGUUCUCCUAAGAUGGAUAUUGGCAGAAAAAGACAUGUCGCCUACAGAUUUCUUGUGGUUUGUUUGGAUCCCAUUCAACAGCUGAUGAAGUUAACGAAUCAUGAUUCUCUAGAAGGAUUCCGGAAGGAUUAUGGUUUGAUUCUAAGCUUCGUUACGGCUCUCUCCAAAGAUCAACACGAUGCUCUCUUUACACUGCUGCAGUUCUAUGACCCUACAUUGAGGUGUUUUACAUUCCCAGAUUAUAUCUUAGUCCCUACUUUGGAGGAGGUUGCCAGUUUUCUCAGAGUUCCUAUCAAGCCGCAGUUGCUAUUCUACAAUUCCAAGUUUCUGCCCGAUUUCAGCAUGGUUGCUUCAGCCACAUAUUUGGGGAAAUCAGUCUUGGAGUUUAAUAUGAGUCAGAAAGGAGGAGUUAAUGGUUUUCAUCUGAGUUUCCUAGUAGGAGAAGCCAAGAAGAAGCUUGAAGAUGGUGAUUGGAGGUGUUUCAAUGCUGUGUUGGCUCUUUGUGUAUACGGGAUUGUCUUGUUCCCUAAUGUUCCAAAAUUUGUGGACGUAGACGCAAUACACCUCUUCGUGUUGGGAAAUCCGGUGGCGACCUUGCUAGGAGAUUUCUUUCAUUCAGUGCAUCACAGGAAUGAGAAUAGAAAAGGAGGAUUGGUGAAUUGUUGUGCACCCUUGUUUCAUAAGUGGUUCAGUUCUCACCUACCCAAAUCAGGAGCGUUCAUUGACUUCAAGGACUCGUUGAGUUGGUCGAAGAGAUUGAUGGGGAUAAGAGCUAAAGACAUUUCUUGGUGGUCUGACCAGAACUUGCUUCGGGCGGAUAUCAUUCACAGUUGCGGGAACUUCCCGAAUGUGCCAUUGGUAGGAAGAAAAGGAGGGAUCAACUAUAAUCCUUCUCUAGCAGUCAGACAAUUUGGGUAUGCUUUGAAAACUCCGCCUUUGGAAAAAGAUGUGGAAGAAUCUCUGUUUUUCCAUUCCUCAUCUGAUUUGACUGUAUCCCAUAAGGCAGUUGAGGCUUGGCUCAAAGUGAUCAAGAGAGGAAGGACUGUGCUUGGAAAGGGAGAUUGCAGGACUUAUCAUCAAUAUGAAGAUUGGCUUCGGGGAAGAGUCGAAGAGUUUGGUCUGCCUUUUCCUAUUAAAGAACCUUUGUAUCCACCUACUCCUGAGCAGUCAACGAUGGUGAGUCGAGAGGAGUAUGACAAAUUGAAGAAUGCCAUUGAGGAACUUCAAACUAAAAACUCAGAGUUGCGUGUGAAAUUGCAAGAAUGUAUGCAUCUAUACCAUGAGGCAGAAUAUCAGAAGGGGGAAACUGUCAGAUUGCAAGAGGAAGCAGAGAAGAAACUGGUUGUGGAGGUUAACUUCUUCAGGAAAACUGACAAAGCCUUGGGGUCAUCCAGUUCUGAGUUGAGGCAAGUCAAGCAGUAGUUAACAGAUGCCUGUGGUAUGUUAGCUGGGUGGCAAGAGCAGUGGGAUGCAUUUUCAGCUUCUCGGAAGGCAAAAGAGAAGGAGAUGAUGGCCCAAUUGACCGGUCAGAUGGAGAAGUUGAAGACUCUGCUGAAGGAGAAGAACAAUGAGCUCUUGUGUGCCCGUACAACCAAUGGUUACAUCACAGAUCAACUCGACAAUGCUCAAGUACAUAUUGAAGAACUCAAGGUGCUGGCGGGUUUGAAGAAAUCUAGACUUGAAGAGGUGUUCGUGGAGGACGAUGGGAAUUACUACAUAGAGCACAUCAACGAGCUGGAUGGGAUUAUUCACAAGAGGAAUUUUCUUAUUCGGUGUUUAACAGAAUCUCUAGAUCAUCCUGACACGGUGGCACUACUGGCUGAAGUUAGGAGCAGUCCUUAUGGGUUGUAUACAGAAGGCUGAUUCCUGAUUUUUGUUCCUCUCUUUACUUGUUAUGUUUCUUUGUGGUUUUGUAGUGAUGAUCCACAGGCUUGUUGUGGAGAUCCUCUUUUGAUGUACUGUUGGCUAAGGCCAUUCUCUUUGAACUCGUUUGUAUGACGAUUUCUCUUUAUUGCAUCUUGGUCUCAAAAGUUUAUCCACGGCUCGAUCUUCUUGUACUGUUCAUCUGAUGUGAGACUGGAAUUAAGGGGUAGAGUACCCUUUGGAAUUGAUAAACAUGUCAUUGCAUUUGCACAUUCAUUAGCAUGUCUUGCAUAACAGGUACCGCCGCAAUGUUCUCAUUUUGUUUGAUAUUCCACUAGUAGGAUAGCUGACUCAGGCAUUCACCGGUACGGUACCCGCAGGAAUCAACAAAGAGCAAUGGAAGGCCUACAAGAAGAGCUUGUUGAGAUGAGGAUUUGCAUGAAUCAGUUCAUGGACGUGGUCCAAGGAGUGGCUCAGGGACAGCAGAAGCUCAGACAGAUGAUACAGAGGAAUCCCCCUACUACUCAACCAGAGAUGGUGAUUGAUCCUCCAGCUGGAGAGACCAAUGGACCCAAUAGACCGGGGCCUAUCCCUAUCCCACGUGUCAACCCUGAUCAACAACCCAUUCAUGAUGAUCAAGAGGAUCAGUUCACUCUGCUUCAAGAGGACUUUGGCAUGGGCCAUGGCAUGGACCUUAUGUUUAGGAGGUUGGAGGAGAGGUUGAAGGUUGUGGAAGGGCAGAAUGCUCUUGGUGUGGACGUUGCUGACUUGGGGCUGGUCCCAGGCGUGAGAGUUCCACCAAAGUUCAGAGUCCCAGUCUUUGACAAAUAUAAUGGCAACUCUUGCCCGAAGAGUCACGUGCAAGCUUACUUCCGCAAGAUGGUUGUGUAUUCUGAUGAUGAGAAGCUGCUCAUGUACUUCUUCCAGGACAGUCUAGCUAGGGCAUCCUUGGAAUGGUAUAUGAGGCUGGAUAGAGCCCAUAUUUGCUGCUGGAGAGAUUUGGCUGAGGCUUUUGUGAAGCAGUAUCAGUACAAUGUUGAUAUGGCACCUCACAAGACUCAACUCCAGAAUCUGUCUCUCAAGAGCAAUGAGUGCUUCAGAGAAUAUGCUCAACGCUGGAGAGAGACAACUUCCUGUGUUCAACCUCCGAUGAUGGAGAAGGAGAUGGCCAACAUGUUCAUGAACACACUUCCCGGGUCUUACUUGGAGCGUCUGGUGGGUUGCAACGCCUCCAAUUUCGCUGAUGUGGUCUCUACCGGUGAGAGGGUGGAGAACUACUUGAAGACGUGCAAGAUCCAAAGUGGGGUUGGAUCAUCAUUAGGGGCGAAGAAGCCGUUCAUACAGGGAUAAAAGAGGAGAGAAGGGGAUUGAAAUUCAAUAUCUUCUUAUCAGAACAGGGGUAACCGGAGGAACAGUUUUCAGAACUACCAUCAACAACCUUAUGUUGCAGUUGUGACCAUUUUGGCUGCAGCACCAGUGCAACAACAAUAACCUCAGCGUCAACAAACUCAAUACCAACAACCACAGGGUAACAGAGCUGCCUACCAACAGGGACAGAGGAUGUUGGACAGGCGUUUCGACACUCUUCGGAUGUUGCAUGCCCAGUUGUUUCCCAGCCUUCAACAGCUACAACUUGUGCAGAUACACACUUUGACUCCUCCUAUUGGCAGGCUUCCAGUGGGUUAUGACGCCAAUGCUAGGUGUAAUUUCCACUCUGGGGCACCUGGCUACUUUAUUGAGAACUGCAAAGCUUUUAAGCACACAGUUCAGGACCUUAUUGAUUCGAAGACCAUCAACUUUGUGCCAGCUCCUAAUGUUGUCAACAAUCCCUUGCCGCAACAUGGUGGUGCAAACGUUAACAUGGUGGAAGGAGAAUUCAAAGUCGUCAAGGAUGUGUUGAAGCUGAAGACACCGCUGUUGGAAAUCAAAGAAUACUUGUUGAAGGCAGAUGUUUUCCCCGGUUGUGGGAGCGGCUAUUUGGGUUGUACUGUACAGAGUGGGGGUUGUGUGAGGCUGGAGCAGGGUAUUCAGGCCUUGCUCGACGAUGGUAUCCACCAAGCUGAAGACCUAUCUGCCCAAAGGUCUAUUGAAGGGGUUGUUGUAGGGGAUGUUGAAGAGAAUGCUGAUGUUGAUCCUCUCUUUCCUGAAGAUGCCGUGGAUGCUAAAGAAUUUACAAAUGUUGUUCCUGCUGAUUUUGUAAUCCCUAGUGAUGUAAUUAAUUCUUCAGAUGUUGUUGUUGAUAUUCCAAACAAUGUAUUUAAUUAUGAUGUAUUUGUUGAGCCUGAUUCCGAUGUUUCGGAUGCUUGCAUUUCAAUGAAUAAGAUUUCUAAGUAUGACUGUGAUGUUGCCACUAUCACAAUUUUCUACCCAACUGCUUAGAUCAGUGUGCCAGUAGCGCAACCGGUGCCACCAGUGCGACCAUCCACUAUGACCAUCACGACCCCUGGUCCUUUACCUUUCACCAGCGAAAGGGCCAUUCCUUGGCAUUAUGGGGGGAGUGUGUACACGCAUGAUCAUGGAGUGGAGCAGCCACUGAAAAUAGAAGAGGUGCAGGAUCAGAGGUCUGAACCUGGAGUUGAGGUAAAAGAUCCCGCAGUGGACAAUAUUGGUGGAAUCGGGCGAUUCACCAGAAGUGGUAGACUAUUCUCACCACCGGUUACCCAACUUGAUAGUGCUGAUGCCGCGGCGAAGGCCAAAGGCAAGCAAGUUGUGAAUGAGGGUACCUCUGCACCACAGGCUGGCUCUGACCCUACUUUUGCGAAGGAUGUGGACGAGCUCUUGAGAAUCAUAGAGAAAAGUGACUACAAGGUAGUCGAUCAGUUGAUUCAGACGUCGUCCAAGAUAUCUAUUCUAUCACUCCUGCUGUGUUUGGAGGCACACAGGGAGGCAUUGUUGAAGGUCCUUAAUGCUGCAUAUGUGCCUCAGGAGAUCUCAGUGAACCAACUGGAAGGGAUCAUUGCAAAUGUUCAUGCGAGCAACAGGUUGGGUUUUACUGAUUCUGACUUGACACCAGCUGGACGCAAUCAUAACAAGGCUUUGCACAUCUCGAUGGAAUGCAAAGACACCGUGUUAUCCCAUGUUCUGGUGGAUACAGGUUCCUCUCUCAAUGUGUUACCCAAGAGAGCCCUGUCAAGGUUAGAUGUAGAAGGUUUGAUCUUGAAGCCUUCCGAUCUUGUUGCGAGAGCCUUCGGUGGUUCUAAGAGGUCGGUGUUCAGAGAGGUAGAAUUGCCAAUUUAGAUUGGAUCACAAACCUUCAACACUGUCUUCUAUGUGAUGGAUAUCAGUCCUUCGUAUAGCUGCUUGUUGGGUCGUCCUUGGAUCCACAAUGUUGGGGCAGUCUCCUCGACCUUGCAUCAGAAGAUCAAGUUCCCGGUCAACAAACGAAUUAACACUGUCUGUGGUGAGGAGGAUAUUCUAGUCAGUCACUUGUCUACAUUCAAGUAUGUAGAGGUAGAAGGUGAGAUUCAUGAGACCCUGUGUCAGGCCUUUGAGGCAGUUCAAGUCAAGGAUGCAGCUCCGGUGGAAGAGGUUAAAGUAGGUGCCUCUAUUUCGUCCUUUAAGCAGGCGCAGGCCUUGGUAAAUUCAGGUGUUGCUCCCGGUUGGGGACGUCUGUUGGAUUUACAUGUAAAGGAAGACAAGUUCGGGAUUGGGUAUCAGCCAACAUUGACUUCUACAACUUCAACGUCUUAGACUCGUCAGGGGCCGAUUACUUUCUCCAGUGCUGGCAUCAUUCAGUAUGGCCAGGUCUCUGCAAUCAACAAAGAAGAUGAAGAUAGUGAUUGCGACAUAGACAACUGGGUGCAUCCAAGGGUCCCGGGUGAAGUUCUCCGCAAUUGGUCUUCUGAAGAGAUUAUCCAAGUCACUCUUCUUGAAGAGUAAUUUUCUUUGUUUGUUUGUGCAUAUCCAAGUCUUACAUUCCGCCCAGGGCGUAAUGACUCAUUGUAGGGCUCAUCUAUGUGAAUACCUGCAUUUUUUAUCAUAAAUAAAGGACGUCUUUUUGCAUUCAAAUAUUUUGUUCACUGUAUCAUUGUAGGGCUCAUCUAUGUGAAUACCUGCAUUUUUUAUCAUAAAUAAAGGACGUCUUUUUGCAUUCAAAUAUUUUGUUCACUGUCUUUCUAUUUUUGCAGUUUUCAAAAAUCAAAAAAUAUUUGGCAAUGUUUUGUUUAGUUUUCACUCAUUAUUCACACUCAUAAGCACAUACCAUCACUCAUGCAGCUGCACGUCACCGGAUCCUAUUGAUAACAGUUCUACUAUGGCUCGCUUCGACUUUGAAAAUCCAAUCUUUCAAGCUGAAGAAGAGGGUGGUGAAGACUGUGAACUCCCUGAAGAACUUGCCAGGUUGUUAAAACAGGAGGAAAGGGUCAUUCAACCGUAUCAAGAGUCAAUUGAAGUGAUUAAUCUUGGCACCGAGGAUGUCAAGAGAGAAAUCAAGAUAGGGGUUGCUUUGGAAGAUAAUGUGAAGAAGGGGCUAAUUGAACUGCUGCAAGAGUAUGUUGACAUUUUCGCUUGGUCUUAUCAGGAUAUUCCAGGGCUUGACACAGAUAUUGUGGUACACCGUUUGCCUCUCAAAGAGGAUUGUCCUCCGGUCAAGCAGAAGCUCAGAAGAACAAGACUAGAGAUGACUGUCAAGAUAAAGGAAGAAGUGCAAAAAUAGUUGGAUGCAGGGUUUCUAGCGGUUACAAAUUAUCCGCCAUGGGUUGCAAAUAUCGUUCCAGUACCUAAGAAGGAUGGAAAGGUACGGAUGUGUGUUGACUACCGGGAUCUGAACAGAGCUAGUCCAAUUAUCCGCCAUGGGUUGCAAAUAUCGUUCCAGUACCUAAGAAGGAUGGAAAGGUACGGAUGUGUGUUGACUACCGGGAUCUGAACAGAGCUAGUCCUAAAGAUGAUUUCCAAUUACCUCACAUCGACGUUUUGGUGGAUAACACGGCUCAGUUCUCGGUUUUCUCCUUCAUGGAUGGCUUUUCUGGCUACAAUCAAAUUAAGAUGGCAUCAGAAGACAUGGAGAAGACAACUUUCAUAACCCCAUGGGGCACCUUCUGCUACAAGGUGAUGUCGUUUGGUCUGAAAAACGUUGGGGCAACAUAUCAACGAGCUAUGGUAACUCUUUUCCAUGAUAUGAUUCAUCAUGAAAUCGAGGUUUAUGUUGAUGAUAUAAUUGCCAAAUCUCAAAUGGAAGAAGAACAUUUAGUGAAUUUGCAGAAACUGUUUGAGCGUUUGAGGAAAUUCAAACUGAGGCUUAAUCCAAACAAGUGUACUUUCAGGGUGAGGUCUGGAAAACCGUUGGGUUUUAUUGUCAGCGAAAAAGGAAUUAAGGUGGAUCCUGCCAAAGUAAAAGCGAUAAAGGUUCAUCUCUCACCUAACAGCCACGUGUGAGCCAAUAUUCAAGCUGUUAAGAAAAGAUCAGGCUAUCAAGUGGAAUGAUGAUUUCCAAAGGGCUUUCGAGAAGAUAAAAGAGUAUUUGAAGAAUCCUCCUAUCCUUAUGCCUCCAGUCCCAAGGAGACCGCUGAUUAUGUAUUUGACAGUACUUGACAAUUCCAUGGGUUGUGUUCUCGGUCAACACGACGAGACAGGUAGGAAAGAGCAUGCCAUCUACUACCUGAGUAAAAAAUUCACAGAUUGCUGAGUCGAUGAACCUCAAUGCAUGGAAAAGACAUGUUUGUGCACUUGCAUGGGCCUGACUAAGCGAUUGAGACGAAUAACAUUGCUGACUCCACACAACCUGUACUGAUCUCCAAGAUGGAUCCAUUCAGAGUAUAUAUUAUAAGCCAGCUCUCACCUGAAGGAUUGCUCAGGUAUGGCAGAUGGGACUGACAGAGUACGAAUCCAGUAUACACCCAGCAAAGCCAAAUCAAAGGGAGUAUUCUGUCAAACUAUCUUGCUCAGCAGCCGAUUGAUGGACUAUAAGCCGAUGAAGUUUGAUUUUCCGGAUGAGACAUCAUGUUCCUCAAGGAGAAAGAUUGUGAAGAGCCAAGUUGUUGGAGGCGACCUGAUCCAGAUGAAAAGUGGACUUUAAUGUUUGAUGGGGCCGUCAAUGCCAAAGGAAGUGGAAUUGGUGUUGUCAUUACCACUCCGAAAGGUGCCCACAUGCCUUUCACCGCUCGUUUGACUUUCGAGUGCACCAAUAAUGAAGUUGAGUAUGAGGCCUGUAUUUUGGGUAUUGAGCAAGCCAUUGAUUUGAGAAUCAAGACUCUGGACAUCUUCGGAGAUUCAGCUCUAGUGAUCAAUCAAGUGAAUGGUGAUUGGAAUACUCUCCAGCCUAAUCUGGCCCCCUAUAGAGAUUACACGAGAAGACUGUUGACUUUCUUCACAACAGUAAAGUUGUAUCAUAUACCUCGUGAUGAGAACCAGAUGGUGUUGGUGUAAUCCCUAGAGGCCAAUACUUUUGGUACUUGUAUCGAAUUAUUUAUUAAUAAUAAAAGGCUUUUUCUUUAUUAUAUUUGUUUAAUAAAGUCCCUAGAAUAGCUAGUCCGUUUAAUGUAUCAAGUAUUACUUAAUCAUGAGAUCACAUUAAACAUAAGGACAUUAUUCUUAAAGUAUUCGUAGUCAAGCUUUAUUGUGAAGUGGGAUAACAUUAAAGCAUGAAGACUAUUAUGUUUAUAGACUGAUGAUCACAUCUCAUGGAUCAUGGAUAAAGAGUUAUCAAGUCUUAAACAUAGGUAUGAAUAUUAAGAGUAAUAUUUAUACUGGAUUGACCCGCUAUGAGAAUACUAUAUAGAAUGUUAUGCAAAGUGUCAUAAGUUAUUCUCAUGGUGAUAAUGGUGUAUACCACCCUUCGACCUGAAACCACUAUGGACCCUAGAUGUAGAGUCGAGUGCUUUAUUGCUGAUCAAACGUUGUCCGUAACUGGAUAACCAUAAAGACAGUUGAUGGGUACUCCACGAAGCAUGCUGAGGGACAUGAGUGACCUAGAUGGAAUUUGCCCAUCCUGCGUAACAGGAUAAAUGUCUAUGGGCCCAAUAUUGAACUGGACAAGGAUGACACGGUCUAUGCCUUGUGUUCAAUAUAGACAUAAGGGCAAAAGGGUAAUUAUACACAUAAGUAUUAUCACAGAAGGAUUUGUCAGAUCACAUGACAUUUUCGUGUCUUGGGUAGCAGUGAUGUGUUGCUAGAUACCGCUCACUGUUUAUUAUGUUAAAUACGUGAUUUAAUAUAAUUGCCAAUGCCGCGAAAACCUACAGGGUCACACACAAAGGACGGAUUGAUGAGAGAUAGAGUAACUAAGGAACACCGUAAGGUACGGUGCACUUAAGUGAAUUGUAGAACAUCGUAAGGUACGGUGUACUUAAGUAGAAUACGAAAUAUGGUAAGGUACCACGCGCUUAAGUGAUUUUGGCAUAUUAUAAGAUAUGGGCCACAUACACUUGAGUGGGCUUUUUAGCUUGCAGCCCACACAAGUGGUUCUAUAAAUAGAACCCUUGUGUAGAAGCAUUUGUGCAGUUGCAAUUUUGUUUUCUCUCUCUCUCACUCAAAGCCUUCAUUCGUAGCAGCUAGCACUGAGAUUGAAGGAAUCCGUUCGUGUGGACUGAGUAGAGGCGUUGUCAUCGUUCAACGUUUGUGAUCGCCACAAGAGGUAACGAUUCUAUCACUGAUCAUGCCCAUUCGUAAGGAUCAUUAAAGGAGAAAUUUUAAAUUCUGCUGUGUUUUGGAUCGCCAUUCAACUUCAGAUGGCAGAUGCUCUUGCUACUUUAUCCUCCAUGAUCAAGGUGAUUAGGUGGAACUAUGCUCCCAGGAUCGAUGUUAUGCGCCUUGAUAGGGCCGCGUAUGUGUUUGCUGGUGAACGGGUGGUUGAUGACAAGCCCUGAUAUCACGACAUCAAAUGCUUUCUGAAGAAUCAAGAGUACCCUGCAGGGGCAUCCAACAAUGAUAGAAAGACUUUGAGAAGAUUGGCAGACAAUUUCUUCUUGAACAAAGACGAUGUGCUGUAUAAAGGAACAUCGAUAUGGUUUUGCUCAGAUGCGUGGAUAGACACGAAGCGGACAUGUUAAUGCAGGAAGUUCAUGAAGGCUCCUUCGGUACCCAUGUCGACGGAUAUGCAAUGGCUAAGAAGUUGUUGAGAGCGGGUUAUUACUGGAUGACCAUGGAAUCUGAUUGUUUCAAGUAUGCUCGGAAGUGUCAUAAAUGCCAGAUUUAUGCUGAUAAGGUGCAUGUGCCGCCAAAUCCUCUGAAUGUGAUGUCUUCGCCGUGGCCGUUUGCUAUGUGGGGCAUUGAUAUGAAUGAUAAGGUGCAUGUGCCGCCAAAUCCUCUGAAUGUGAUGUCUUCGCCGUGGCCGUUUGCUAUGUGGGGCAUUGAUAUGAUUGGAAAGAUUGAGCCGACUCCUUCCAAUGGGCAUCGCUUCAUCCUUGUUUCCAUCGACUAUUUCACCAAGUGGGUCGAAGCAGCGUCAUUUGCGAAGGUCACCAGACAUGUGGUUGCCCGAUUCAUUAAGAAAUAAAUCAUUUGUCGUUAUGGGAUUCCCGAAAGAAUCAUUACUGAUAAUGGUUCUAAUCUCAAUACCAAAAUGUUAAAGGAGUUGUGCAAGAACUUCAACAUUUAACAUCACAAUUCUUCCCCUUAUCGUCCUAAGAUGAACGGUGUUGUUGAGGCAGCAAAUAAGAAUAUAAAGAAGAUUGUGCAGAAGAUGGUCGUUACGUACAGAGAUUGGCAUGAAAUGCUACCCUUCACCUUGCAUGGGUACCGUACUUCAGUACGUACGUCGACCGGGGAAACCCCUUACUCCCUUGUGUAUGGUAUGGAAGCAGUCCUACCUGUUGAAGUGGAGAUUCCUUCUCUAAGAGUCCUGCUGGAUGUCAAGUUAGAUGAAGUUGAAUGGAUUCAGACAAGGUUCAAUGAGCUGAGUCUUAUCGAAGAGAAGCGAAUGGCAGCCAUCUGUCAUGGGAAGUUAUAUCAGAGUCAGAUGAAGAGAGCCUUUGAUCAGAAAGUGCGUCCUCGAUGCUUCCAAGUCGGAGAUUUAGUGUUGAAAAGGAUCCUUCCUCCUCAGACAGAUCACAUGGGCAAGUGGACUCCUAACUAUGAUGGACCAUAUAUUGUCACCAAGAUUUUUGAUGGUGGAGCCUUAAUGCUUGCAACUAUGGAUGGUGAAGACUUCACUUCCCCUGUGAACUCAGACACAGUUAAAAAAUACUUCGCAUAAAAUAGACCCGCUGGACAAUAAAAAGAAUAGUCCAGGCAAAAAAUGGGCAUCCCGGCGAACCAAGAAAAUGAAAAAGGUUCGGGCAAAAGUUAGGGGUUAAAAAUGAAAAGAUUGUACACCCGGUAAGUUGAAAAACUGAAAAGGCAACUUAGGCAAAAAUGGGUAUCCCGGUGGAUUGAAAACCCGAAAGGGCGAUCCAGGCAAAAGUUAGGGAUUAAGCGAAUGACUGUGUUCUGAGUAGUUCUGAAUCUCAUUUCGUGUCGAUAACUGGAAACUUUCGAAGGAUAGGAAACAGUCCAAUCACCUCUUUCAGAAAGCUGAUCAUGUGGAGGAUCUUGAAGACGAGCGAGUCAUAGCAGAAUUGGAACCCGAUAGAAAUCCCUUUCACAUUGCUAUUAGACUAAUUUCUGUUUUUAUCUUUUAUGCAAUUACCUCUUUCCAGGGAUUGCUUCCUGAUGUAAAUUCCUAUUCAAAGGCCAUUCAAUCAAUAAAAUCAUGUUAUUCAGUAUAUCUCUGUUUUCAUUUUCAUUUUACUGUUUUGUUUGCAAAAAUGACGUCCGAAUUUUUGAUAAACAUUGCAUCAUGAAACAUAAGUAUAUCUCUGUUUUCAUUUUCAUUUUACUGUUUUGUUUGCAAAAAUGACGUCCGAAUUUUUGAUAAACAUUGCAUCAUGAAACAUAAGAGCUUUACAGGUACAUGCUUAAUAAACAUUUAAAAUUUAUGUAAAUUUUAAGUGCUUUGGAUCGUCUAUUCAGAACAGGAACACUCGGGGCAUUUCCUUAAGGUUCCCAACAGAUGAUCGCGGAUGUUCUGCUUCAACAGUUGGUACUUGGUAUCUUAUCCCUGCAAAGUUGGUCAAAGCAUUGGAUUUUUCAAUCCCCAGCAGGUUCUCACUACUGUACUCUCCCCAUGCAUUUGUUUCAGAUUAUACAUUCAACAGUAGAGUCGACAGUGUCAGACUGUAUAUCCCUAGUAGAGUCGACAGUGUCAGACUGUAUAUCCCCAGCGGAGUUGACAGGGUUAGACUGUAUAUCCCCAGCGGAGUUGACAGUGCUAGACUGUAUCUUCCCAGCAGAAGCAGCUACUCCUCAGAGUUCGAUGCUAGAUCGAUGAUCUCGACGCUAGAUCCAUGAUCUCUUUCCUUGAAGCAGAAUCUCGGUACCAUAUCGGUGUUUGCUUCCCCUGCUGAGUCGUCUCUCUCGCAGAUAUUAGUUGCCAGAACCACUGUCGCUUUCCUCUGCAGCAAGCUUUCAGUGCCAUUCUCUCCCCAGUCAGAUUCUCGGUAUUUUGUUAUUGCUAGAACACCGCAUGGCCGGUCAUUUCCCCACAGAGUUCAUCGUGCUGUGUGUCUCCAACAGCAUCGCCAGGGUCCAGAAGAUUGCGAUCAUUUCCCCAGUAGAAUUCUUUGCCUCGGCUUGGUGUUCUCUUUAACCUAGCAUUUCGCAUCCCUACAUGUAGAAUCAUAUCGUAUUGCAUCCUCCCAAAUCGCGUAGCAUUUCCAUUUUCAUGGAGCAUUACGCCAUUGAAAAAUUCAAACAUACGCAUGUAAAGCAUAAGACAUUCUCGGUAUCCCAAGUGAUAAGCCAGAAAUUUGUUUCCAGUACUCAGGCUGAAGUUUGUUCAUGACUUAUCCUUUAUUAUUCCCAGUAGGGGUUGUUGGCCCACACGCCGCCUCAAUUAUUAUUUUCCCUAUUUCUGCCGAUGCUGACAGGCAUGAAAGUUUUCCGGUAUCCAGACCGAAGUGGCAUUCAGGCCAGUUUUCUGAUGUUCAGAUCAAAGAAGUUUCCGACGUUCAGGUCGAUGCAACUUGUGGCAUUCAGGCCAGUUUUCUGGUAUCCAGACUGAAGUGGCAUUCAGGCCAGUUUUCCGAUGUUCAGAUCGAAGAAGUUUUCGAUGUUCAGGUCGACGCAACUUGUGGCAUUUAGGCUAGUUUUCCGGUAUCCAGACCGAAGUGGCAUUCAGGCCAAUUUCCGGUAUUCCGACCGAAGUGGCAUUCAGGCCAGUUUUCCGGUAUCCAGAACGAAGUGGCAUUCAGGCCAGUUUUCCGGUAUCUAGACCGAAGUGGCAUUCAUGCCAAUUUUCCGAUGUUCAGAUCGAAGAAGUUUCCGACGUUCAGGUCGAUGCAACUUGUGGCAUUCAGGCCAGUUUGCCGGUAUUCAGACCGAAGUGGCGCUCAGGCCAAUUUCCCAGUGUUCAGACCAAUGUUUGAUAAUCUAGUAUCUUUCGAUGCUCAGAUCAGAGUCGUUUCCAGUAUUCAGAUUGAUGAGUGGCAUUCAGGCUAUGGUUAUUUCUGUGUUACCAUUUAUUUUGGUAUUCAGGCUAACAUUCCUUCUUUCGGUGUUCAGACCGAUUAUCACCGUAUUAGACGGAUUCUUUUUUCAAGACCAUUUCUUUGUCGAUCCUGACAAGCAUUAUUACUUCUUUUUUUCACUUCAGUGUAAAUUUUCGGGCUUUUAUUGUAUUCAAUCCCUUGAUACCUCGAAAGUGAGAAAGUCGUUGCUAUCUUCUUUUCGGGUCUCUAGUUGAUUGAAUAGGGGCAACUGUAAUACCCCAAAAUUUACCCUUCAUUUUUUCUGGAAGCAUGGGAUUAUGUUUUACAUUUCAUUAGCAUCAUACUAGGUCAUACUCAUUGCAUACUGCAUUAGUGACAUGGAAAUCAGGUUUUGAUUGAUCACUCCUUGACAGAAGGAGCCCACGCAAAGCAAGAUUGAGAAUUGGGCUUCAUUCUCUAAGCAUACAAGUCUCAAAGGUCUCAGGGGGAUCUAGGUGUCUUAUUAUGGUCCUUAGCUCAUCAGUGAAAGAUUCAGAGCUAUCAGAGUGUUCAUCAGGAUUUAAUCAAGAAAUUAGGGUUUCAUGGCUACCUGCAACAGGAAAUGUUUGGUUGGAAGUAGAGGAGCUCAUCCAUGUCAUGAUUGGAGAGGCAUCUUGGCCUAGGAAGACUCACAAUUAUCUCAGAAAGAUCCAUUAUACCUGCAACAGGAAAUGUUUGGUUGGAAGUAGAGGAGCUCAUCCAUGUCAUGAUUGGAGAGGCAUCUUGGCCUAGGAAGACUCACAAUUAUCUCAGAAAGAUCCAUUGGCAAGCAGUGCAAUCAGUCCCUGAUCAUUUUUUCCCUAAAAUUAGGGUUUGGUAAAAAAUCAGUUUAUUUCUUAUUCUUUGUGUGAAACUCUUUUCCAUGGCCCUCCGUAUGUCCACAAGGGUCUACAUACAAAAAAUCAGCUCUUUAUUUGAGUCAGAAGUACUUCAAUUGAUAAAUGGAAUCGGGAAUCAGACAGUUUGGGAAAAGUCAACUGUGGGGCCAGAAAAGUCAACUCUUGACAUUUUGAGAGUGGAAUCUCAAAAUCCAUGCCUAGGGGAUCCUACAUGUGAAAAUUUGAUCAAGGUUGGAUCUUGGAUUCAUCAUUUAAUCAGGAAUUGGAAAAGUUACGUAAUUUGGAAAUGGUUGACUUUCCAUUUAGGGCAAGUUUUCAUGAUUGUUGCACUCACUUUAAGCCCAUUUUCCAUCAAGAUAAAAGCUCCAUUUGAAAAUUUCUCCAACAUGAAAGUUGUUCCUCUUUGCUUCCAGCUCGUCUAUGAUAUAAAGUUUGCUCCAGUUUGGAUCAAAUUGAGAUAGUUAUGCUUGGUCAAAGUGAGACAUUUUUUAGGACACAUUAGAAAAUUUCUAAGUCCAAAGUCUUCAAAGUUUGUCAAGACUUCUUGGCCAGUUUUCUUGCACUUCAAGGCACAAUGAAAAUGUUUUCUUCACAACAAUUAUACCUUGCAUGUCCUCUUUCAACCUCCUUUUGGAAUCAUCUCAUUUGGAUCCAUGGUUUGAGAGAUGCAUUCAUCUAAAGUUGGCAUCAUGACUUGAAUUUCUAGGCAGCAUGUUAGGCCAAACUGGCCCAACCAUUUUGGCAUGGUGAGACCUGAUCUUGAGGCCCAUUUUUCACCUUCUUCCAUUCAUCAUUUCCACUUGUGCUCAACAUGAAAGAUGCUAUACUCCAUGAGGUCUUGCUAUUGUUUGCAUUAUUUCAUCAUUUGGUGGCUUGCUCAUCAAGAUACAUGGCCACAAAGUCACCAUCUUGGACUUAUUUCCUUGCCUGCCAAACCAGAUCAAUAAUGCUGCACAAACCAAGCCAGUUUUCUGUUUUCCUCAUUUGGCCAUGCACUUUUUUUUCCACCCACUUAAACUUUGCCAAAAUAAGCAACUUUCUAACACCACCUCACUUUACAUCUUUUGCUCAUAAACUAAAACAGAUUGUGUAAGAGCCCAUUAACAAUAUAUGACCCAUCAUAUUUAAGCACAAAAACCCUAAAUCUGAAGGCCAUAAUGAAUUUUCGAACUAAGCAAGGAGGGAGUUCAUUCAAGUCAGAUUUCAUUCCUUUUCCUUUUCUCAAAGUUGAAGUUUCAAAGCACCAUUCUUCUUCCAUUUUCUCCACAACCAAGAGGCAGUGGACUUGGCUUCCACGAGGUAAUCAUCUUACUCCUUCUUCCAUGGCCAUGUAUAGCUUGUUAUGCUCAUCAUUAUGCUUGCUUCAUGCCAUUACCAUGCUCAUCAUCAUGCUGGUUUCCAUGUUAAUAUUAUGUUAUGCUCAUUUCUGAAGCCCUCAACAUGAGGCAAUGUUCAUGUUGUGGAUUUGUUUUGUUUAUUUCUGCUCACACUCGUGGCAUGUUGUCCUCUUGUUGUCAAUAUUUCUCCAUGAUUAAGCCAUCAUUUAACCAAAAACAAGUCAUCACGUUAAUCCUUGCAUUUCAUACUUGAUGUCUGGUUUUUAUUUCAUGUCUUUUGGUGCACUAUGGCAUGCGCAUUCUUGAGUGGAAGUUUGGAAAAACUCACUUCAUUUUCGCGAUUUCUGCAUGAUUAUGGCAUUAGGGUUUGGUUUGAGGAAGGAGAUUAUUACGUGUCAUCUUAGGAACCGUUAGAUCUAAGGCAUGUGUUUUAAUCCUGGCCAUUUAUUUGUUUUUGUCCUCUAGUGACUUAAGUACCCGUGACCAAUUGAUACAAGGUUACAUGAUUUAAUUUAUUAAAAUGUUAUUUGUUGUCACGCUCGUUUAACAACUGUUUGGACUGGGCCUGCGCUUUCCUGCUUUCCACACCCCCACGUUCCAGGGCCCAUCAGCACUAAUACUUUCUCUUUUCAUUUUCUUUUUUUAAUUUCCAUUUAUUUGCUGUUUUGUUUUAAUUAUUUUAAAAUAUUUUCAUUAUUCAUAAAAAUCCCCAAAAAUAUUGUCCACAUUUCUUAAUGCCUUAUUUAAUUUUAUUUAAUUUUUAUUUUCGUAUUUAUUUAAUGUUAAUAUUUUAUUUCAAUUAUUAAUUCUAAAUGGUUCUAUUUAUUUAAUUUUUAUUUUCGUAUUUAUUUAAUGUUAAUAUUUUAUUUCAAUUAUUAAUUCUAAAUGGUUCUUUUAAGCAUACCUUUAAUUCUUGAUUUUAUUUUCAUGGCUUAAAAUUAUUUUUAGGCUUUGAUUUUUGGGAUGAAGGUUGACCAGUGUCCCAUGGUCAACCUGACCUUUUGUUGAAUUUUUAUUUCACAAUUUUCUAUUUAUUUGAUAAUUAUUUUGGUUGGUUGACUUUUAGUUUGACCUCUAUUUUAUUUCAAUUGAUUUAUACACCAAUUUUCAUUAUUUUUAAAAUCUUUUUGGGGGAUGAUGAUGUCCUGACCCCACCUUAUUUAGUUUAUUUUUUCAGAAUUUUCUUGAUUAAUUUUCUAUUUAUUUGACAUUUUUUAAGUUGACUUGAAUUUUCAGUUGACUUCUUUACGAUCGAUGUUUGACUUAGGGAUUGCUUAUGGCAAUUGAAGAGACCUUUUGAUCCUCCCUUGUUCAUCUCAUAUGCCAUGUAUUAGAGGCCUUUCAUCUUGAUUUUAUUUGGUCCUUACCUCAUUUCCUGAUUAAAUUAUUCAGUGAACCCUUUUUAUGCAUCUUUUCAUCUGUCUAAUUCAUCUAUCAUCUUUUAUACUUGUUUCUUUCAUCCAUGUUCACUAUUGUUUGAUUGUUUAACAUGUUCAUACUUCCCAUGCAUUGUUUAAAUGCUCCUUUAUUUCAUUCUUUGAUUCUUUGACUUGAUUAUACACUUGUUUACUUAUCUGAUUUGAUUGAUAAUUGUUGCCUACUUGUAUGAUGAUUGAGGCAUAUAUUCUUAUUGUUUGAUUGCCAUGAACCAUCCCCAUUCAUAACAAAUGUACCCCUCUCCCAUAAAAUGUUUACUUAUCUGAUUUGAUUGAUAAUUGUUGCCUACUUGUAUGAUGAUUGAGGCAUAUAUUCUUAUUGUUUGAUUGCCAUGAACCAUCCCCAUUCAUAACAAAUGUACCCCUCUCCCAUAAAGUGUAUAAUAUUUAUUCUUUAAUUCUUUAUUCAUCUGUUAAUACAAGAAUUAAAACAAACAUCCGAUAAUCAUUUCAAAACAAGAUCAAAAGCUCGAUCCAACGUCGAGUAAUCAUUUUCAAAACUUAACAAAACCAGCACGUUUUCAUUCAUCCUCUUGUAAGUCGAUCGCCUCAGGCAUCACCAUUUCUCUUGUAAGUCGAUUGCUUCAGGCAUCGCCAUCUACCUCUUGUAAGUCGAUUGCUUCAUGCAUCGCCAUCUACCCUUAUCCGUGGCUCCUCUCCUUGCUCCAUCCGUCGACUCUUGUUCCGUUUAGGUAGCACCCAUUAGGUAGAACCAUUUGUAUGAUAACAUAGGUAGAAUUCCCUUAUUCUUUGCAUGCUAACAUUAGGUAGAUGUUCCCCGUUUUACAUCCUAACACAUAGGUCCAUAUUGCAUGACAACUCUAGGGCAGAGCCUCCCCACUUUUAGACCUUCCGUGCGUCUCCGAUCUUGUGGCAUGUCAAUCCGUUCUAUUGCAAAAGAGGUAACUGCCUAAGACUCAAUUCAGCGAGCUGCGACACCUACUGCUAGGACGUUGAACACAUUGCCCACUUUCCUUUGACACAGCUGGUGUCCUCUUUUGUAAGUCCAUGUUCAGAUGGCAAAUGCCUAAGACUCAAUUCAGCGAGCUGCGACACCUACUGCUAGGACGUUGAACACAUUGCCCACUUUCCUUUGACACAGCUGGUGUCCUCUUUUGUAAGUCCAUGUUCAGAUGGCAAUCCUUAACCCCCUAGUUAGGCGAACUACGAUAACUCUGAUUCUCAUGUUCAUAUGAGAUACGUAGGCACGAGAUACGAUGUCUUGUCGAGUUUUUUGACUGACGACUAACAACUAAUCUUUGCUUGCUUUCGCCCUUGUUGCGAUUCUUUUCUCUCGCCCUCAUUGCGAUUGAGACCUUCCCUUUCUCUUGCCCUAGUUGCAAUCGAGACCUUUGUUCCCGUAGUUAGCUGAACUACGUUUUGCUCUGAUUCUCAUCCCAGAUAAGAUACGUAGGCAUAAGACGCGAUGUCUUACCGAGCACACUUCUUCUUAACCCAUAGGUAGCCGAGCUACGAAGACUCUGAUUCUCAUACUCAGAUGAGAUACGUAGGCAGUGGAUGCGACAUCCUUGCAAGUCAUUUUCUUUUGACCUUCUUUUAGUAAGUAGUACUUUAGAUAUACCAACACCCUUUUGACGAGAACAACAAGAGUGGAUCCCGUAGAGUACUACGGAUGCGUAGGGGUGCUAAUACCUUCCCUUCGCAUAAUCGACUCCCGAACCAAAGAUUUGGUUGCGAGACCUUGUCUUUUCCUUCUCUUCAGGUUUUCUUUGAUCGUUUCCUUUCCCUUCUUUGGGAUAAAUAACGAACGGUGGUGACUCUUUUGUUUCUUUUUCUUCGCUAGUUGUAUUUUUUUGCACCAGUUGCGACACCUACUUUUCACAUUUUGUUGUAUUGUAUUGUAUAUUGUUUUGUGACAUAUUUUUGUGCAAUUUGGGAUUACUGUAUUGUAUGUAAUGAUUGAAUUGCUUGAAUAUUAAUUCCUUGUAUGCUUGGUGGUCUUUGAGAGAUGAGUUCUAUACCCGAACUAGAGUGCACUUAGGAUAGGAGAAUGGCAUAGUCUUGUUGACUUAUGGGGAGUUAUUCCUUAGCAAGUUGGCUUGCAAGCCCAUUCACUUGGUGGAGGUCAUGUUGAGAUCAAUAAUGUCACACAAGUAGUUGUGGUUAGACAUUACUCUUUCCAAUAUAGGCCUUAGAAGCCAAGGACCUUAGUUUACCAAGCCCAUCUUGGCCUAUUCUUAGGAUGUAGUACGAAAGACGGUCAAGUGUAAGAUUUGAUACGAUUGUUACGCGAUACUACACUCAUAAGAGUCUCUCUUGAGAAUAUUUUUGGAAUACGAGUAGUUGUUUAUCCGAUAAUAUCCGAAAGAUGGGAUGAUGACUAUGGGAGCGAUACUACACUCAUAAGAGUCUCUCUUGAGAAUAUUUUUGGAAUACGAGUAGUUGUUUAUCCGAUAAUAUCCGAAAGAUGGGAUGAUGACUAUGGGAACCUCUUGUAGAACAUGUUUGGCAGGUUCAAACCCUAGUACACUCCCUUUGGGUGGUUCUUAACCGAGACUCCAUGCUCGUGACUUGCAACAAACCCUUGAUUCGUGGUUGAUCCGUUCUUGUAUCCUUAAUAUCAAUGGAACUUGGGUGUUGAUAAGAUGUAAACCAUAAUCCACCAAAAUGGAUGAUUGAUAUUAAGGAUAACAUGAUCUAUCCCAUGACCUUUGUUUGGUGUGCUUUGCUUGAUCCUUGAGUGUGAUUGUUGCAUUCAUGCAUUAGUGCACCCAUUUGCAUCCAUAGCAUCAAUAAUGAGAAAAUUUUCAAGGAACAUAAGAGGUCUAUUUGCAAAUUUUCAGACAUGGAAAGACAAAGAAGGAAUACAAAGUAGUACAGUUUCAGACAACCUGACUUGAAAGUGCUAAGGAAUUUGACAUCCUAUGUAUUAGAUCCCUUGGGUUUCAAGGCUCGUUUUGGGAAGCUUUUAUCCGUUCUGACUACUCAGGUGGACGAAGAAUUGAUGAGUGUAUUGGUGCAGUUUUAUGAUCCCUUGUACCGUUGCUUCACAUUUCCGGAUUUCCAGCUUUUGCCCACGCUUGAGGAGUAUGCCUACCUUGUGGGUAUACCCAUUCUAGACCAGUUUCCGUUUAGUGGCUUAGAGAGUGUUCCUACUUCUCAAGAGAUAGCUGCUAUGUUGCAUAUAGAUGAAUCUAUGGUUGUUGCUCAUAUGACUACCAAAGGCGGAAUUCAAGGUCUCCCUUUUGAGUUCCUCAUUGCUCAAGCUACUAUGUAUGGGAAGGCCAUGAUUGAGGACGCCUUUGAGGCCAUAUUUUUACUUCUCAUCUAUGGGCUAGUGUUAUUCCCCAACAUCGAUAAGUUUGUGGAUGUGAACGUUAUUAGGAUUUUCUCUACUCUUAAUCCCGUUCCAACUCUGUUGGGUGACACUUACUUUUCUUUGCAUAUGAGGAAUGCAAAGGGUGGUGGUACCAUUGUAUGUUGUUUGUGUAACACCCUUCUAAAAUACCCCAAAAUAUUUAAUUAAAAUAGCAAUAUGUCAAUCAGAGUAAUUAUGCAACUAAGGGUGUCACACAAUCAUUUCACACCAUUUUCCAAAAUAUCCUGUCAUGCUCAUUUAUUUAAUCAAAAUAAAACAUUCGCAUAAUACGCAGCGGAUACAAACUAACAAUAUUCAAACCAUGUAAUACAUUACAUGUAAAGUUGUUCAACAAUCAAAUGAAAACAUAAUAAAACAUCCCGUCCCGAUGUUACAUCUACCAGAGCAUGACCCACUAAGGAACUACACUAGACUCCAAGGACUAGCUUCUACUCAAUCACUGCUCGUUACCUGAAAAAUAGUUGUAAGGGUGAGUUCCUCAAUCGAUAUAAUAAGCAUUAUAAAUUAACAUGUAAUGCCAAGUAAUUUCACACAUUCAUCACCCUAAUCAGAUCAUACAUUCAGCAACGGCAACAUCAACUAAAAUCAUACUCAACUCAACCACAAAACACACGUAUAAUAUUGGAAUACAUCCAUUCAUAUUAUACGCCAUACAAUACAAAUGCAAUGAGACUCCAUGCAUGCGGUACCGACUAUUUGUGAACAUAUAGUUCACCUCACCGUCCAAAUCCAGGCACGGCUACCAAGCCCACCUAGUCCCACUCAUUUGAGACCUAGUGACUCACUCACUAAUUCCUCACCANNNNNNNNNNNNNNNNNNNNNNNNNNNNNNNNNNNNNNNNNNNNNNNNNNNNNNNNNNNNNNNNNNNNNNNNNNNNNNNNNNNNNNNNNNNNNNNNNNNNNNNNNNNNNNNNNNNNNNNNNNNNNNNNNNNNNNNNNNNNNNNNNNNNNNNNNNNNNNNNNNNNNNNNNNNNNNNNNNNNNNNNNNNNNNNNNNNNNNNNNNNNNNNNNNNNNNNNNNNNNNNNNNNNNNNNNNNNNNNNNNNNNNNNNNNNNNNNNNNNNNNNNNNNNNNNNNNNNNNNNNNNNNNNNNNNNNNNNNNNNNNNNNNNNNNNNNNNNNNNNNNNNNNNNNNNNNNNNNNNNNNNNNNNNNNNGUAUCAGUUAUGUGUGCAUUUGUGAAUAGACUGUUUUAUGGCUUAGAGUGUGAGCAUAUGUCUAUUCGUGAAUUGUGGUUGAUGAUUUAGCAUUGCUAGGUGAUUAGCAUGCAUAUUGUGGCCUUAUGGUGGUAGCUAAUUCCCAUGGUGAGGAAUUAGUGAGUUAGUCAUUUUGGACUGUUGUUGAUGUUUGCAUGCUAGGUGAAUUAGCGUGCAUAGCAUGGCCCUUGGGGUGGUAGCUAAUUCCCAUGGUGAGGAAUUAGUGAGUGAGUCACUAAGUCUCAAAUGAAGUGGACUAGUGGCUGGGCUGGUCAGCUCGAGGCCUUAUGGGGCUAGUGGGAACUGGUGCCGUGCCUGUAAUUGAUUGAGACGGGUCGAGGUGACCUAUAUGUUACAAAUAGUCGAAGAAUAGACAUAUGCUCACACUCUAAGCCAUAAAACAGUCUAUUCACAAAUGCACACAUAACUGAUACAUUCACAGGAUCAUGCAUACCAUCACACAUCAUCAGUAUUUUAUCACAUAAGCAUAUCAUAUCAUGCCAAAUAACAACCACAGUAUUAGCACACUCUACUAAUACCUAUACUACUCAAAACGACGGGGAAUGAGCCCUAAUAUAUCAUACAUCAGCUAAAUUACAUUACUCAGCUGAACAGCUAAAAACUGCACAACAACAGCUCAGGAAAAUCACAAGUCUGCUCAUACGCGUAUUACCUAGUCCCAUACGCGUAUGGCCCAUUUCUCAGCCAAAACCCAUACGCGUAACACCAUCCCAUACGCGUAUGCUACGCGUACCACAACCCCAUACGCGUACCAACAGAGACCAAAACACGUUCAAAACAUCAUCUUCCUCAUCCAUACGCGUAUUGCCUAGUGCCAUACGCGUACCAGACCAUCUCAUACGCGUAUUGCCUAGUGCCAUACGCGUAUGACCAGAAACCAGAUUUCCAGAUCUGCUAUGGUCUUCUCUGCUACGAGAUCUACCAAUUUCCAACCUCCUACAAUCCAAUUUUUCACAUUAUUCGUUCAUAUCCUCUAACACAAUUCAUACCCUAUUCGAUUUCACAAAAUCUAACAUUAUUACAUUAAUUCCUACGAAUUUCCUUCAUUUAUAAUCCAAAUUUCGUUCAUCCAAUACUUCACAAUUUCAUCAUACGUCAUUCCAAUCAGAGGUAAAUCAAUGGUUUAUCACUACCCAGUACAUAUUAUCCCAUAAUACCCAUUAAACGAUGAUAAACCCCCCUUACCUGAGUUAAUCCGGCGAAUCUUUAAGCUCCAAGCUCUUCCUCUCUUCAACCCUUGUUUUCUGGCUCUCUUUGCCCCUUUUCCACUUUUCUGUCCCUUUUCCCUUUUCACGUGAAAAAAAUAAACCUUUUACCAAAAUGGGACCUUUUCUAAAUUCCAACUUUUAUUCCAAUAAUUAUUAUUCCAAUAAAAUACUAACCCAAUAAUAAUAAUUCCAAUAAUAACAUUCCAAUUAUUUAAUUAAAUUAAUAAAUAUAUUAUUAACUUAAAUUAAAUAAUUAUCUUAUUUUAUCGGGGUGUUACAGUUUGCCUCUGUUGUACAAGUGGUUUAUUUUGCACUUGCCAUAGACGGUCGCCUUCAAGGAGAACAAAGGAUGUCUACGGUGGUCCCCGAGACUGAUGUCUCUCACUAAUGAUGAUAUCUUUUCGUACAACCGUGUAUAUGAUGGUAUGCAGAUUAUUGACUCUUGUGGUGAAUUCUCCAAUGUGUCUCUUCUUGGUACAUGUGGUGGGAUUAACUACAACCCCGUUUUGGCACGUCGUCAUCUUGGGUUCCCCCUAAAGGAUAAACCCAAUAACAUUCUGUUAGAGGGUGUGUUCUUUCAGGAAAGUAAAGAUCCCUAAUGCUUGAAGGGCAGGAUUGUCCGCGCUUGGCGCAAGAGCCAUAGGAAAGGAAGGAAGGAGCUAGGUCCAAAGAACUGUAUCGCUUUGGAGCCUUAUACUUCUUGGGUUAGGGGGAGAGCUUCCGAGUAUCUCAUGCCUUACGAGUAUCCAAGACCUACACCCUUGGUUAUGGCUGGGCCUUCAACCCUCCCUGACCAAGGAGUAGAGGAGUUGAGAGACGAGGAUCGUUCGCGUGCUUGGAUCCAUGAACGAGAGGAGUUGCUUCAGCAGAUCAAGGAAAAGGAUGUUUUGAUAGAGUUCCUCGAGCACCAGGUUAUAGAUGAUCCUGAUGAUGCAUGGACUUCUCUACUUCCUCAAUCUUCCAAAUUUUGGAAGAGGAAGUAUUAUCGACUUGCUAAAGAGAAGGCAGACAUGGAGGCAACCUAUGAGAGGGAGGUGAAGAGGCUUCGUGCGUCCUAUCUUCCAGUCUCCAGAGCUUUAGAUGAUUGCUUCUAGAGUUCCAUAGAAUGAUCAUUUUCCUUCUCUCUUGUAUUAUAUUUGGUUACCAAGACUGUACUUCUUUGGUGUAAAAAUAUUUUCCAGAUAUUAUUUGAUGUAAUAUUUCCAUGUGUGAUAAAUGUUUAAUAUUCCCAAAUAUUUGCAAAUAGGACUCUAAAGUUCCUCUGAUAUAAAAAAUUAAAUCAUAUGCAUUGCAUGCAUCAUGUGCAUAAGCAGGUUUUGCUCCAGGCUAACUUUGUGUUCUUCAUUUAUUUGAAGACAAGCUGACUCACCGGUACUACACCCGAGCCAACGCAUCAAGACUAAUGGAUCAUUUGGAACCACAUAACCGUGAGCUUAAGGAGGAAGUAGCCAGAUUGACUGCCCUGAUGGAGUCAUUCAUGGCUGCCCAGAGCCAGUCAUCUCCGACACCUUCAACUCCUCCGCAGAGGAUAGUCAUCUCCGAGAUUGUCUCUUUAACUGUGCCUGCGGCCAGCACACACUUCACACCAACAGCCAUGCCAUUCGGGUUUUUGUGGGGAAUGCCACCCAACUUCAUGCCUGAGGGUCAUGCACCCACUUUUGCUUCUCUGCCGGCAUCUAGCCCGGUCCUAGCUGUUCCUCCUCAUGUCGUGUAUACUAUGCCUAGAGUAGACGACACCAUCUACCAUUCUGAGCCGUCUGAUGGCCUAGAUGUCUAUGAAAAGAUGGAUGCUAUGAAUGACCAAUUUCUUGAGCUCCGCAAGGAAUUGAAAACUAUUCGAGGAAAUGACCUUUUUGGCAAGUCUGCUGCUGAACUCUGCCUGGUUCCGAAUGUUAAAAUCCCUGUAAAGUUCAAGGUCUCUGACUUUGAAAAGUACAAGGGAAAUACUUGCCCUCUCAGCCACCUGGUCUAGUACGCCAGGAAGAUGUCGACUCAGACCGACAAUGACCAACUUCUCAUUCACUACUUCCAGGACAGUUUAUCCGGUGCUGCCCUAAGAUGGUAUAUGGAUUUGGACAGCGCGAAUAUCUGAUCCUUCAAUGACCUUGGCGAGGCCUUCGACAAGCAAUAUAAGUAUAACGUGGAUAUGGCUCCCGAUAGGGAUCAAUUGAGAGCCAUGUCCCAGAAGGACAAGGAAACUUUCAAAGAAUACGCCCAGAGGUGGAGAGAGGUAGCAACACAGAUUGUGCCCCCGCUGGAGGAGAAAGAGAUGACCAAGAUCUUUCUGAAGACCUUGAGUUCUUUUUAUUACGAGCGGAUGAUUGCCAACGCUCCUUCUGACUUCACCGAGAUGGUGAACAUGGGGAUGCGUCUGGAAGAAGGAGUCAGGGAAGGGCGCCUGACCAGAGAAGAAGGCUCUUUUGCCAAACGGUAUGGGACGUUUGGGAAGAAGAAAGAUGGCGAGGCGCAUGUUGUGACCUCCCAUGUUAAACCAAGAAGACCCUCGGUGAGGAGGAAGACCGCGCGUCCUGCCGGUAACUAGCAUCAGGUGGCUCACAUAGCGCCUAUUUUCAGAGAUAAUCAACAGUAUCAGCAUCACAAUAAUAAUCAGCAACAAUCACAUCCGCAAUAUCAACAACAACAACACCGUCCUUAACAGCAGGCCUACCAGCCUCGAAACAGUAAUCAAGCCGAAUUAUAUGACAUAUGCCGAAACAAUACAAGUUAUGAAAGGAAGAGGGUUACCUUCGAUCCUAUUCCUAUGACAUAUGCCGAAUUAUAUCCCUCUUUGAUAGAGAGGAAGUUGAUUACUCCACGAGACCCACCGACUAUACCUACUAACCCCCAGUGGUGGUAUAAGCCCGAAUUACACUGUGUUUAUCAUUCCGGAGCUCCCGGACAUGACGUGGAAAACUGCUACCCACUGAAGACCAAGGUUCAAGACCUUGUGAGAUGCGUUAUUUUGUGUUUCGAGGACGUAGGUCCCAAUGUGAAGAAAAACCCAUUGCCCGAGCAUGGGAAAUCUGUCAACAUGGUCUAUGGCUGUCCUGGUAAGUACAAAGUCAAAUAUGUCAGCCAUAUUCUACAAUCUUUGGUCGAGAUGCACAGACUGCUGUGUGAGUAUAGUCAUUACGAGCACGACCACGAUAGAUGUCGAGUCUGCACUGUUAAUCAAAGAGGAUGUCGCCAAGUACGCAAAGGUGUUCAAGAAAUGCUGGAUGAAGGAGUCAUUGAGAUACUUCAGAACAUAAAUGUUGAUGAAGAUGCUGAUGAAGUCAAUGUAAUUUCUCCAGUAUUCCGAAUCCCUGAGCCUGUUAUUAUCAAGUACGAUGGUAGCAAGCAAAAGGCUUCUCCUUCUUUGACCAUUAAACCGACUGGCCCUGUGCCAUACUCUUCUUAGAAUGCAGUCCCCUAUCGCUACAAUGUUGUAGCAUUAGAGAAUGGGAAAGAGGUUCCCCUACCCUCUACAUCUGUUGUUAAUAUUAUCGACGUCAGCGGUUUGACCCGUAGCGGUCGUGUCUUCUCGGCUCCGCCGAAACCUCAAGCUGAUGUUCGAAGAGCCAAUGUUGCUGAUUAUGCUGAACGACCGUUUGGGAAUACUGUGAACGCUCUGAAUCCGGAACUUGUCGCCAAACCUACCUCCGUUGUAAAAACUCCUGUCUUUGUUGGCCAGAGUGGCAAUGCGAAAGAAGACUGUGAUGAGAUGCUGAGGCUCAUGAAAAGAAGUGAGUAGAACGUGGUAGAUCAGCUUCUAUAGACGCCAUCCAAAAUCUUUGUACUAUCCUUGCUGAUGAAUUCAGAACCACACCGAGAAGCUCUGCAAAAGGUGUUGGAUGUGGCGUAUGUGAAUCACGACGUCACAAUAGAAUAAUUUGACAGUAUUGUUGCAAACAUCACUGCUUGUAACAAUUUGAGUUUUUGUGAUGCUGAUCUCCCCGAGGAGGGAAGAGACCACAAUCUGGCACUACACAUCUCCAUGAGCUGCAAAGAUGACGCCAUUUCCAAUGUGCUAGUGGACACUGGUGUAACACCUCAAAAUUUGGCCUCCUCUCUUGGGACUAGCUUAACAUAUUGCAUUGCAUUUUUAGGUCAUUAGGCAUUGCAUAUUGCAUAUCAUGUGGUUACAUUGUGCAAAUCAUCCUCACAAGUCUUGAUCAGAAGAUGAAGAGGUUAUGUGCAAGCUAGGGUUUCAUUGGACUGGUCAUUAAGGCAUUGCAUAUUGCAUAUCAUGUGGUUACAUUGUGCAAAUCAUCCUCACAAGUCUUGAUCAGAAGAUGAAGAGGUUAUGUGCAAGCUAGGGUUUCAUUGGACUGGUCAUUAAUCAUCUGAGGAUGGAAGUCCAAAUUAGGGUUUUUGAUUCUCAAAGGGAUUGGUCUACAUCUUGGUUGCAAUGAUACAUCAUCAUCAUCAUGGUCUUGAUAUCAUCCAAGAGAUUCAAGUGUUUGAUCAUAUACCUUGAGAUUAGGGUUUUGACCACUGGUCAACCCUAAUCAGUUGCAGUGAGCCAAUCAGGGCAUGGCAAGGAGAUGGGGUCUACAAUGGAUAUGGGGAUCAUUUCAUGUGAUUAUAUUGAGCUUGUGGAGGCUAGGGUUUUAUCCUUGAGCCAUUUCAUCAGAAGAUUGGGGCUCAACUUGAUCAGUGCAUUGCCAAAUUCAUCUAUCAGUGGAAAAAGUCAACUGUGCUUGAUUUUAUGGAUUUGGAGGUGGGAGAGAGUUGGAUACACUUCAUUCAUGUUGAAACAAGUUUCAUUUGACAUGUCAAAGCUCAAGAAUGAAGAAAAUAAAGUCAGGAGAACAAAUUGCCAAAAAUAGAAAGUGACUUGUAAUGAAAGUUUCCAAAAUGGAAAGUUUUUUCAAACCACAAAAUACAUGUCCAAAAGCUUCACAAUGAAAUUUGUUCAACAUAAAGUGUUAGAUUGCUCUCACCUUUCCAAAAAGUCCAAGAACUUGAAAUUCCCAUGUAUGGUUGGCAAGUUAUGGUCCAUUCAUUUUCCAAAAAGGCCUAUAAUCAAAGUGGCAUAACUUUCACAUGGAAUGUCCAAUUUGGGUGAUCUUUUUAUGAGCAAACCCCAUUUCACAUGUACUUUCAUGGUGUAUGGUCCAAAUUCAUCAAAAAUACUCAUAGCAAAAAGUCAAAUUUCAAGUGGACUUAAGUGCAUUUUUGGUGUGAACAUGUGAAUUUGAGCAAUACAAGGAAUUUGGACAUGAGAACCAUUCCAACACACUCCAAAUAUCAUUUAGAAGUUGUAUGAUCUGUCAUGAGCUGUCAUAGUGCACAAUUUGGAAAGGUCACGUUUACCCUUGCAUUAAGAAAUUCAUUAACACUAAUCCAUUCCAAUUUUGAUAAUUUGGAUUAACAAGGUGAUUAAGGCAUUGGUAUAAAUGGUUAAUUGUAACAGAAAUGCUAAUGACAAUCACAAUCCUCAAGAUCCAUAACAGAAUUUCACCAAAAACCUCUCAAAUUCUCUCAAAAUCCUCAUCACUUUUUUUCAUCAAUCUUCGUCAAUUCUUCAUCAAUUGGCACGAUUUUUCUUUGGUUCAUCUUCUACAAGCAUAAACUCCAUCUGUUUUGCUGAAUCAAGGCCAAAAACUCCAAGAUCAAGGACUGUCCGAAGCUUGUGCAUUAAUGGAGUUUUGAAGAUUCUUCCACUUGAAGCAACCUUGAGCUAACCUAAUCUUUCCAAUCAUCUUCCUCAUCACUUAGCUUCAUCUGUUUUGGCAAAUUACACGUGGAAACGACCAAAUCGAGCACUGCUAUCAACCUAAGGUCAGUUUUCGAAUUUCUCUUUUGCUUAAAUUAAUAGGUGGCUUUUAUAGAUCUUUCAGUGUAGAUGAGCAUGAUGUGAUUAGUUUUUGAAUUGGUUAACUGUGGAGAGAGUAAUCACGUUUGGAAGUUUGAUGUGCGUUUCUUCUUUUGAUCGAUCCCUUCGCCAUGGUUAGAAUUAGGUUGAAUGAGUUACAUAUCUUGGAUCUAUGUUGAGAGACGGUUCUAGUGAUUAUGAAUUUGUUGAUUUUGGUGAAGAUUCAAUGUUCUUGAUUUUUCUGGAAAUUUGAGUGUGUUCUUGUGAAGAACACGAUGGAAUAGUGAGUUUGAUCUUCUAAUUCGCCUUGCUUUGUUUGAAUCAUGUUUCUCGCCUUCUUUUAACCAAUUAGCGCGUGCCACUGAAAAAAUGCCAACGACGUCGUUUGGCUUUGGUUCCUCAGAAUUACCAACGUGUCAUUGCUGUAUUUAAUUAAUUAUAUUAUUUCAUUUCUUUUUUCAUUUUAUUUUCAUUUGAUGCCAUGAACUUAGAAAAAUCAUAGAGGAUUCAUUUCUUAUCCAAUUUUGGUGAGAUUUUUUGCAUAAUACUCCUGAUGAUGUGGAGAAUUUGAUUACGAUUUUUGUGGAAUUUUUGCAUGUGUAGAAAAUUAAUUGGCUUAGGGUUUGUUUGAUGUUGUCACAUUUGCACAUACCAUGCCAUAUCUAUCAUGAAAUGAUGAUGCUUUCACAUAAAUGAUUGAAAUUUUUUGUGCUUGUCUUGGACUCAUUGCUGGUGAUUUUCAUGUGUGGUUUGUAAUUUUUGGAUACAUGGUUGAUGAGUUAUGAAUUUUUUGAUUAGAGGUGUGACAAUUUGUGUCACACCAAGCUAGGUCAACUUCUUGAUUUUGUUUAAAAUGCUUAGGGAUGUUGAUUUGAGCUGAAAUUUUGUGUGGAUGAUCAUAUGAAUGUCAAGAUUAUAUGUGAAUUUUUCUGGAUUUUUUUGAUGUCAUUUUUUAAUUGAUUGAUAAUUUUCUUCUCUGUUGGCUCAUUUUGUGAGUUUGUGUGACACAUGUUGGCAUUGUGCUUGUGAAAUUCUCAUAGUGUAUUGGAUGAAGAUGAAAUUUGACAUGUGGAUUGUAGACACAUUAUAGGACAUUAUGGUUUUGAUCCCAUUCAUUUAUCUUGUUGUGACACUGUUUUGUGAUUUUUGGAAGUUGAUGUUUGUUUGGAUACCAUGUUUUGGCUUGUUUGAAAUUGUCUGAACUUCUUGAUUUUCAUUGACCUACUUCCUUUUGUCCAAUUGAGCUGAAAAUUGACAUGCUAUGCAUUGAAUGUGUCCUGUUUAGGUGUGAAUUUUUGUGGAUUGUCCAAUUGAGCUGAAAAUUGACAUGCUAUGCAUUGAAUGUGUCCUGUUUAGGUGUGAAUUUUUGUGGAAUUAAUUGAAUUGUUUUGGUAUGCUUUUGGUUGAGAUAGUUCUGUUUGGUCAUUUGGAGUUGCAAAUUGUAUGUUUGAUGUUAUUUUGUGCAUAAAAUGAUAAUGGUGAAUGAUAUGAGCAUGGGACCAAUUGCAUUUGCUUCUAAAUUGUUUGAAUGUGAUUUUGGAUAAUUUUCACUUGCUGUUUUGGAUUUUUUAUCCCCUUUGGACCCUAGGCUUGGCCUAGUGGUCUAGUUUCUCAUGAUUGGUUUGGAUUUUCAGGUUGAAAUGCAAAAGGCUUAAGGAGAAAAUUGCAAGCUGAUUAAAUUGAGUUUGUUUGAUGUUGUCAACUAACAUUGAUUUUGUGUUGUAGGAUUUGAUGCUUGAGCUUGGGCUCAUAGCUUGCACUUGUGUGCAUGAAUUUGUGUUUGACUGUACAGAUUAACAUUUGCUGUUUACUGUUGGUUUGUCUGAGUACUGAUGAUACUUGAUUGAUUUCACGUACAUUAAGUCGCUUACAGUUCUUUAAGAACUUGCUUGCUGCUGCUUGGUUGUAUAAACCAGUUGAGGUAGACUCUCUUGUCUCCAUGUAGUCUGGAAGACCUGGCUUGUUAUUUAGCCAGGCAAACUGUCUGAAGUCCUCCUUAAGACGCGAUGUUUGUGAUUGUUUACUUUUGUGCCAAGCAGGUAAAGACCUCUAUGAGGCAUUGGCGGAACCCAAGGGAUAUGCAAUCUAUCCCGCUAUUCGUUGAGUCGUCCCUCUGCUCACACCACUGUGUUGAUGCUUGGGACAUAACCAAGAUCUUAUGCUGUUGCAUAGUCGAGUCAGAGUCUUUGAGCGUAGAAGGGUCCCUCCAUUCUGGACCCACGCUCCUUUGUCUGAAGCUCUCCCUGGCCAGGGAUAAGAGCUUGUGAAGUCUAAUCUUCAACUCACCUUUCAUCUGCUUCACCCCUGACUCAAUGGUCAGGGUAAGAGCGACCACUACUCUGUAACAGAUGAUUUCGGCAGUCCAACCUUGUUUGAGCCUCACUUGACUGGAUAAGUGUGUGAUUUGUGAAUAUUGUUUGAAAUGUUUGUUUUUGAUUUUUGAUGCUUGCUUGCUUUCUUCCUGGAUAGGAUUAGCUUGCUGUUGUGCAAGUAGGUAGAAACCAUAACAUAGGGCAAUGAUUAUGAUAACACUAGGCUCGAGUACAGCUCCUAGUAGUGUGUCUCCCCUUGGUUUCUGGCUAGAAUUUCUUUCCCUUUUGGGGGAACUACGUCGCCCUGAUCCUGAUACCAGGAUAGGUACGUAGGCCAGGAGACCGUGCGAGUCUCUCCGGGCACUUUCUUUCUUUUGUGUGUGUGCUUGACGGUUAAUAGGCUCGAGUUCCCGCUCCCAUUAACUCGUUUGGUUGUUUGUGUGCUUGGAAGCUGAUGUAAGUCCAUCGAGUGGCAUUCGGGUUCCAGUUGCGUGUGUUUGGUUCGGAUGCCGAUGUAAGUCCAGUGAUUGGCGUUCGGUGCUCCACGUUGCCUUUUUGUGUAUGUUUGGUUCGGAUGCUGAUGUAAGUCCAGUGUUUGGCAUUCAGGCUCCAUGUUUGCUUGUUUGUGUGGUCUUGUUUGGCGUGCGUGAGCCGAAUCUACAGUAGCUCUGAUUCUCGUUCCAGACGAGAUAUGUAGGCAUAGGAUGCGAUGUCCUAGCGAGCCCUUCUUCCUCUUAACCCCACAUGUGUUCCUUGAGUGUGUGUGUGGGUGUUUUAGCAACCUUUUCUUUCUUAGAGCGUGGAUCCCGUCGAGUACGACGGGACCGUGAGGGGUGCUAACUCCCCUUGCGUAACCGACUCCCGUACCCUUUCUCUUUGGUCGGGCGAGACCAUCUUUUUCCAGGUUUACUCUGAGCGUUUCCUUUCCCUCUUUUGGGAUAAAUAACGCACGGUGGCGGCUCUGUGUUGUUUUUGUUUUAGCCCGCCGGUUGUUUUUCGCGGAUGCGACAACUGGGUCAUCAUUAAAUGUGUUGUCAAAGUCCACUCUUGCAAAAUUGUCGUAUCAAGGGCCUCCCAUGAGGCAGAGUAGAAUGGUGGUGAAAGCUUUCGAUGGGUCUCGUAAAACUGUGAUUGGAGAGGUUGAGCUCCCAGUUAAGAUUGGACCAAGUGAUUUCCAGAUCACCUUCCAGGUCAUGGACAUUCACCCAUCGUAUAGCUGUCUUUUGGUCAGACCAUGGAUUCACGAGGCAGGCGCCGUGACAUCCACCCUACACCAGAAAUUGAUGUUUGUCAAAAACAAGAAGCUGGUGGUGGUAGGGGGAGAAAAGGCUCUCCUAGUUAGCCAUUUGUCUUCCUUCUCUUAUAUAGACGCUGAGGAUGAAGUUGGAACUCCGUUCCAAGCUUUAUCUAUCGCUGAACCUAUUAAGAAGGGAACUUCUUCGUUUGCGUCCUAUAAAGAUGCAAAGUUGGCCAUUGAGCAUGGUACAACUAAUGGAUUAGGGUAAAUGAUUAAGCUGGAAGACAACAAAUCCCGGGCUGGCAUAGGGUAUUCUUCUGGUGUGUUCAACAAGCAAGGGCUAUUCAAGAGUGGUGGAUUCAUCCACACCGGUCAAGAUGAGGAAGUUGUUACCAUUUUGGAAGAGGAUACAAAGGAUUCUGGCAACUUCAUCAUCCCUGGAGGGGUCUGCAAUAAUUGGGUCGCUGUUGAUGUUCCAACAGUUACCCAUAAGUCAAAGUAAUGUUCAUUGUGUUUAAAAAACCCUCCUCCCAUGCCAAAAGAAGGAGUGAUGACAUUGUUGGCUCAUAAAUACAAUGAUAUUUCAUUCAAUAAAUUCAUGUUAAAUGUUUGUUUUUCCAUUUAUUUUCACUUUUCGCUUUUUGCAUGAAAUUGGUGAUCAUAUAAAACCUUAAAAAUAGAAUAAAAUCAAUCUUUUCAUCUGCAUAAUGAUUUGCUUUGUUUGAAUCCUAAAAUCUCUUUUAUAUUCAAAAUCAUUAUGCAAGUUGAUCAAACCCAUUGAACAUAAUGAUCCAACACCAUCUCCCAAUUUUGAAUUCCCUGUAUUUGAGGCAGAAGAAGAUGAUGUUGAAGAGAUUCCUGACGAGAUUACCCGGCUACUUGAGCAUGAAGAGAAGAUCAUUCAACUGCAUCUUGAGAAUCUGGAAACAGUCAACUUGGGGUCUGAAGAUUGUGUUAGAGAAGUGAAGAUUGGGGCACUCCUUGAAGAAUCUGUCAAGAAGGGGUUGAUUGAGUUGCUACGAGAAUAUGUCGACGUCUUUGCCUGGUCAUAUAAAGACAUGCCUGGUCUGGAUACUGAUAUCGUGCAACAUUUCUUGCCUUUGAAGCCUGAGUGCGUGCCUGUGAAGCAGAAGCUCAGAAGAACUCAUCCCGGUAUGGCAAUGUAGAUCAAAGAGGAAGUUCAGAAGCAAAUUGAUGCGGGGUUUCUGGUGACUUCUACAUAUCCUCAAUGGGUGGCCAAUAUUGUGCCCGUGCCUAAGAAGGAUGAAAAGUCUGAAUGUGUGUAGACUAUAGAGACUUGAAUAAAUCUAGUCUGAAAGAUGAUUUCCCUCUACUACAUAUUGAUAUGCUGGUAGAUAAUACAGCUAAAUUCAAUGUCUUCUCGUUUAUGGACGGAUUUUCCGGAUAUAAUCAGGUCAAAAUGGCACCUAAGGAUAUGGAGAAGACAACAUUCAUCAGACCUUGGGGAACAUUCUGUUAUCGAGUGAUGCCCUUCGGUUUGAAGAACGCCAGAGCCACGUAUCGACGAGCUAUGACUACUUUGUUUCAUGAUAUGAUGCACAAGGAGAUCGAGGUAUAUGUUGAUGAUAUGAUUGCAAAGUCAAGAACGGAAGGUGAGCAUGUAGAGCACUUAUUAAAGCUUUUCCAGCGUUUGAGGAAGUAUAAGCUUCGUCUGAAUCCUAACAAGUGUACAUUCGGAGUCCGUUCUGGCAUGUUAUUGGGCUUCAUUGUCAGUGAAAGAGGUAUUGAGGUUGAUCCUGCAAAGGUCAAAGCAAUACAAGAGAUGCCUGCGCCCAAAACUGAGAAGCAUCAGGCUCCAAAAGAACCGGCGAACUUAAUAAUUUCCAGAUUCAUAUCCCACAUGACUGCCACAUAUGCGCCGAUAUUCAAGCUCCUCCGGAAAGAUCAGUCUCAUGAUUGGACCGAGGAUUGCCAAAAGGCCUUUGACAGUAUUAAAGAGUAUUUGUCUGAGCCUCCGAUUCUGUCUCCGCCCGUGGAAGGGAGACCGUUGAUUAUGUAUCUGACAUUUCUUUGAAGACUCAAUGGGUUGUGUCCUUGGUCAGCAAGACGAAUCAGGGAAGAAAGAGUAUGAUAUCUACUACCUGAGUAAGAAGUUCACCGAAUGUGAGUCGCAAUAUUCGAUGCUUGAGAAAACAUGUUGUGCUUUGGCUUGGGCUGCUAAGCGCUUACGCCAGUAUAUGUUAAAUCGUACGACUUGGUUGAUAUCCAAAAUGGAUCCAAUCAAGUACAUCUUUGAGAAGCCUGCUUUAACCGGGAGGAUUGCCCGUUGGCAGAUGUUGUUAUCUGAGUAUGAUAUUGAGUAUCGAGCUCAAAAGGCUAUAAAAGGUAGUAUCUUGGCUGACCACUUGGCACAUCAACCAAUUGAGGAUUAUCAAUGUUGUUAUCUGAGUAUGAUAUUGAGUAUCGAGCUCAAAAGGCUAUAAAAGGUAGUAUCUUGGCUGACCACUUGGCACAUCAACCAAUUGAGGAUUAUCAGUCAGUUCAGUAUGACUUCCCAGAUGAAGAGAUUCUGUAUUUGAAAAUGAAAGAUUGCGAUGAGCCUACGUUUGAUGAAGGGCCAGAGCCCGGUUCCAGAUGGAGCAUGGUGUUUGAUGGCGCUGUAAAUCAAUAUGGAAAUGGUAUUGGAGAAGUAAUUAUUACUCCUCAGGGCACGCAUUUUCCUUUUACAACAAGACUAACUUUCAAAUGCACGAAUAAUAUGGCUGAGUAUGAGGCCUGUAUUAUGGGAUUGGAAGAAUGUAUUGAUCUUAGGAUCAAACAUCUCGAUGUUUAUGGUGAUUCGGCCCUUGUUGUUAAUCAGAUUAAGGGUGAAUGGGAGACGAAUCAGCCUGGCCUCAUCCUAUAUAGAGACUAUGCGAGGAGGAUUUCAACGUUCUUUACUGAAGUUGACUUCCAUCAUAUUCCUCGAGAUGAGAAUCGGAUGGCAGAUGCUCUUGCUAAACUUGCUUCGAUGAUUGUGGUAAGACUUUGGAAUGAAAUGCCCAAUAUCACUGUGAUGCGUUUGGACAGACCAACUCAUGUAUUUGCAGUAGAGGAGGUGCAAGAUGACAAGCCAUGGUAUCAUGAUAUCAAGUGUUUUCUUCAGAGCCAGAUUUACCCGCUUGGGGCAUCUGUGAAAGAUAGAAAGACUUUGAGGUGAUUGUCAGGCAGUUUCUACCUCAAUGGCGAUGUGCUUUAUAAGCGGAACUUUGACAUGGUUCUGCUUAGAUGCGUGGAUAGACACGAAGCAGAUCUGUUAAUGACUGAGGUCCAUGAGGGUUUGUAACAGCCCAAACUGCUUUCAGGAUUAUCGACUAACCCCACAAACCAACACGGGUCUUUUCGGCAUGUUUUGUCCUCACUCACACACUUUCCGGGAAACUUCCCAGAAGGUCACCCAUCCCAAUAACACUCAGAGUCAAAGCACUGAUUAACUAUGGAGUUCUUAUCUAUUGGGCUACCGAAAGAAGAUGCAUCUUGUGGUAUAGGUAGUACCAAUAAUCCUGAUAAGCCUUCAUUUCAACCAUGCAGUCCCAUAUCCUGCAUAGUCUUAAGGAUCCCUCUCUAUUCCGAUGUGCAAUCGGUUUUCUCCCCUCGAAGCUGCUAGGAGUGUCUCAUUGGUCAUUGCCCCAUGAUAAACAACCACUGUCCCAUCGCCCUCGGGUGUCAUCACUGUAACCACUCUUCGGCUCUCAACCUCAAAGUGUUAAUGCUUAACUUGCGGAGUUUUCUGGAUGUGGAACUGUCGGAGAGGCCGAAGAGUGGUUACAUGUGACACCCGAGGGCGAGUGGAGUGGUUGUUUAUGCAUGAGGCAUGACAAUGAGCACACUCCUAGCAGCUUCUAGGGGAACACGAAUUCACCAUCUGGAAUGAGAGGAUCCUGAGCUAUGCAGGUAAUGGGACUGCAUGGUUGAGUGAAGGCUUAUACAGGAUUAAUUGGUACUACUAACCAACAGAGAUGCAUCUUCUUUUCGGUAAGUAGCCCAAUAUGAUUAAGAACUCCAUAGUUAAUCGUGCUUGACUUGGAAGUAGUAUUGGAGUGGGUGACCUCUGGAGAAGUUUCCCGGAAAGUGUGUGAGUGAGGACAAAACAAUGCCGAAAAGACUCGGUGUUGGGUUUGUGGGUCCAGUCGGUAAUCCUGAACAGCGGUUGGGUGUUACAAAUGGUAUCAGAGCCAACCUCUCCAGUACGAAUGUGGUUCGGGGGCGAACCAAAGCGGAAGUGGGUGGGCAGUAACACCGAGCGGAGAGGCCGAAGAGUGGUUACAUGUGACACCUCAGGCGAGGGGAAGUGGUUGUUUUUAGCAUGAGGCAUGACAAUGAAGACACUCCUCGCUAGCUUCUUAGGGAAAAACCGAAUUCACAUCGGAAUGAGAAUGGGAUCCUGAGGCUAUGCGGUAUGGAAGACUGCAUGGUUGAGUGAAGGCCUUAUAAGGAUAAUUGGUAGCUACCUAUACCACAGAUGCUCUCUUUUCGUGAGCCCAAUAGAUUAAGAACUCCAUAGUUAAUCGUGCUUGACUUGAGUAGUAUUGGAUGGUGCACCUUCUGGAAGCAGGCUACUAUUGCUGACAAUGGAGUCUGAUUGCUGGCAAAUAAUGUGAAGUCAUGCCCACAAGUGUCAGUUUAUGCGGAUAAUGAUUCAUAUUCCCCCGACACUUCUGAAUGUGGAUUCAUCACCAUGACCUUUCUCUAUGUGGGGAAUUGGACCAGUGAUUGGCAAGAUAUGAGCCGAAAGCGUCCAACGUCACGAUUUAGUUUGUAGAAUUGAUUACUUCCCAAGUGGGUUGAAGCGGCGUCAAUAUGCAAAUGUGACCAGGCAGGUGGUUGUGAAGUUUAUCAAGAAUGAACCAUAUGCCGUUAUGGUUGUGCCGGAUAAGAUCAUAUGACAAAUGGAUCAACUUGAAACAAUAAGAUGAUUGAAAGAGCUAUGUUAGUGACUCCAGAUUGGCACCAUCAUAAUUCUUCUCCUUUAUAGACCCAGAAGAUGAAAUGGGGGCUGUGAUAUGCCUGUUCUAUAUGAGUAAUAUAAAAAGAUUAUCCAGAAAUGGUUGUUAACGUACAAAGAUGGCAUAGAUGCUGCCAUUUGCCCUUGCAUGGGUAAUCGUGACAUCUGUCCGCACUUCAACAGGUGGCAAACCCCUUUCUCUCUUGUUUGUAACGGCAUGGAGGUUGUGCCCCAGUAGACGGGUGGAAGAAUCCAUCAAUGAGAGUCUUGAUGAAAAGCCCAAGUUGAUUGAAUGCUGAAUGGGUCGCAGAGUCAUUAUGACAAUGAAUUUGAUAGAAUGACAAGAGAUUGACUGCCAUGUGCCAGGUCAGUUAUAUCAAUAGAGGAUGAAUAAGCCUUUGAUGACGAAGGUUAAACCUCGUGUGUUCCGGAAGGAAAGCUUGUGCUCAAUGAAAGUCUGUCUUUCGCUGCCCAUUCUUGGGGCAAGUGGAUCCAAAACUAUGAGGUCCAUAUGUUGUAGAAGAGCCUUUCAAGGCGGUGCUUAUUGAUACUUACAACUUAUGAUGGGGAGGAUUUCACUCGUCCUGUGAAUUCAGAUGCAGUCAAGAAAUACUUCGCCUAAAAUAAAAACAGAAUAGCUCGCUAAGUUGAAAACCCGAAAGGGCGGCUUAGGCAAAAAUGAGCGUCUGGGUGGAUUGAAAACCCGAAAGGGAGAUCCAGGCAAAAGUUAGAGACAUAAAAAAAUAAAUUUGUAUCCCGCUAGAUUGAGAACCUCACCCUGGGGCAAUCUAGGCAAAAAUUAGGGAUUUGGCAAGUAAUUGCAUCCUAACAAGACUUUGUUCUACAAACUGUCAUCUGUAAGAGGUUCUCGCUCAGUCAUCGUCAACCGAAGCUUCAAAUACAUCCGAUUCAGAGUUGGUGGAGAAAUGGUCAUUAUGUUCAAUGUAGCCCUUUUCCAAUAUAUAUCACCAAUUUCAAAUUUGUAAAGAUCUAUGGAGUCUCGCCAUUUGCAAAUUACCAUUCCAUCAAAUAAAUUUGAGCCUUUAUCCAAUUAUUUUGCACUCUUAUUUGUUUCUAUUCAACAAAUGUUUUGCAUGUUUUAAUUGAGAAAUAUCGUUGUUUUAAACAAAUAAAUUUUUCAUAACUUGUUUUUAAACAAAGUGAACAUUCACAAUGAUGAAAGGAUACUUGGGAUGUCUUUAGUGCUCUCCCAAAGAUGGUAUGAUUCCCAACAGGGUAAGACAUUUGUUCAUACUCCUGGCAUGACGGUAUCCUUUCCUCCAGAACCUUUGUGGUUUUUUCCUCUCGAGCAGAGUGGUUGAUGAAGAAGUUUAUCUUCCUUUAGCGGAGUAAUGAUCCUUCCUCCUCGGUAGAUGUGAUUUCGUCAGUAGUGGUGACCCUGGAGACUUCUGAUUGGUGGUUGUUUCCCACAGAGUUCCAUUAUCUCCUUUGAUAAUUUCCCCAGUAGAUUUGCUUCCACGGUGGAUUUUAUCUCCAUGUUGAUCUUGUCCCCGACUGGGAUGACUGAUGCUCAUUCCCCUGCAGAGAUCUUUGUUUCCUGGUAUCUCUGGUCCCCAUCAGAUAGGAUAUUCUCCAGUGGGCCUGGUUUUCUCUCUCGAGAUGUAGUACCGGAUGUUUAAUUUUUGUGGACCUGUUUGUGUUAGAUAUGUCUGUUUUGUUAGCAUGCAUCAUACAUAAACCACGCAUAUAUGCAUAAUUUUGACAUUCAAAUAUUCAUGUCGCAUUGUUUGCCAUAAAUACCUUUGUUUGUUGUCCCCUGCUAUUCGGUGAUAUAUAUUUCACUAAGCAGAUGUUUGUGUCUGAUCUCCCCAUGUAGAGUCAGCCCCAUAAGCAGAAAGCGUAUAUCCUUUCUUCCAUACUCCCCACUGAGUUAUGUCCUCGUGGAUGAUUGUUACUUCUGUUCCUCCCAACACAUAUAUUGGGAUGGAGUUUCCCCUGAGUUAUAUCCUCAUAGGGACGAGUCUUGUUUCAUCGUGUCUCUCUAGUUUGUUCCUAGAUUGGCUUCUCUUGAUUUUUCCUGCACUUCCCCGUAGUUUAGAUGAAUGAUUGCUCAGUAGCCAACAAUUAUCCAUCUUUUCCCCGACGGAGUCUGUGGUUUUCUACCCUCAUACCGGUAGUUGUAAACCCUAUUUCUAUCCCUUUGCAGAGUUAGCCUUGUUUUUGUUCAUCCUAACCGAUGACGGUUACUCUCCCAUGGUUUUCUACCCAGUAUCCGGUAGAUGUAAUCCCCUCCUUGACGGUUAUAUUUAUCCAAUACUCGGUAUUGAUAGUCCUUCACCCUUUUUGAGUAUAUCGCCCAGUAACCGGUGAUAUAUCUCCCGGAUCAUUGCCUUUGUCAAUGUAUCCCCAACGGGUCAUCUUUCAUUUACCGAUUGUCGAUAAUGAUCCUUUCUCCCUUUGAUGUGGUCAUCAUUUUAUACCUAGUUUUAGGUAUCCCGAUGCUCUUGUCCUUCGGUCGAUUCAUCCUUCAUUAACCCAGUAACCGGUUAUGGAUAAUCUUCCAUGCGAGUAUGUUAUCUACGUUCUGACGGUAAUAGAUAAUAUAUCUCAUGCGCUCUUUGGUCGAAGUCUUUUGCUCUUCCCUAGUCGAGUAAGAUUCGUAUCCCCUUUGGUGGAAUCGAAUGCCCAUCCUGUAAUCGAGUUUGCUUUUAGCUCUCUUUUGGAGAUGAGUGUCUUGGAAAUAUUCCCCAAUUCACGCUUGGUCGGUCACCUAUUAUAUGCCCAGUAACCGGUAUCCCUGGGGUUCCUUCCUCUCUGCUCCCUAUUAUGACUUUUUGUCCCCUGUGGAGUCAGUUUUUCUUGAGUUGAAAUAUACCUUUUAGGUCUUCCUCAGAUGAUUUUGGAUGUUUGAUAUCUCUCACCCUUAUACCGGUCUUAGAUAUUCAUUCUCCCCGAGCAAGUUAUUCUUUCACCCUCAUACCGGUGUUUCGACCACAUGUCUCCUUGAGCAUAUUACCCAGUAACCGGUAAUACCUCGCCCUGGUGUUUCCCCAGAGGAGUCCUGUUUGGACAUUCCCUAGUGGAGUCCCUUAGUGGAUUUUCACCAUCUGAGUCCGGAUUUUCAUCCGAAGUAUCCUUUGUGGAUAGUUCCGUUGUAUUGGCAUAUUCCCCAAUACAUGCAUCUUUGAGUCAACUCGAGUCCUUCCAUUGAUUUAUUUUCAUGGAAUCCCUCUCGUGUCUCUCAGCAAAUCUCAAGUCGUGACCUGCUCACGCAUGUUAUUCCCUUACUUAUCCCCAUUAGAGUCCCCAGAGUCUCUGUCCCAUUGAGUGUAUUACUCAUAUGGAUUGUCAGUCUCUCCUGAUUUCUUUUAUUCUUUGUGGACACAUAUCUCCACAGAAUACUACUUUUUGCAUACAUACAUUCGCAUCAUGAGGUCUCUUAGGGACCAAAAUUCGUCUCUUUGUUAUUAUUUAAGCCCAUUCUACCUCGUCGAGACGAAGAUUUUAACAUUCACUUCUCCGGCUAGAAUGACCUUAAAUAGGGGCAUCUGUAAGACCCUAAUUUUGACCCUAAGAUCCCUCAUGGCAUCAUAACAUUGCAUUUGCAUCAUAGCCUCAAGGAUAAUAAGCAUCUUGGUUCCUUUUGCCUUUGGGUGGGAUCUCUUGAGAUUUGGUUUGAGAUCACCAAGCAUGCUUGAAUUGUAUAUAAAUGCUUUUCUCAUUUUAUUUACUAACCAAAGGCACAAAAAUAUGUCACUAACAUCUUUUGUUUGUAGCUUGAGCAGUCAUAAGGUCUAAAGCUUCUAGGAGAUCCUAUGUGCAUUUAUAUGGUUAAGAGAAGGUGAAAGUAAGCAUGGCAAUGGUUCCUAAAGAUAUCAUCCAUCAAAUAUGCCUUCCAAUUAUCUCAAUUCAUCAUUUUGAUCAAAGCAAAUCAAGGGGCUUGAGGCUUGUUUCCCAAGGAAACCCUAAUUCAUGUGUUCAUCAACUAUGCCUUGCUCAUGAAGCAACCUCAGCCCAUGAUCAAAUGCAAUCAAGGGAAAUUAUUUAAUUCAUCAUUUCAUGCAUAUUUGAACUUAUUUGAGUGUCCUCAAUCAUCAACUCAUCAAGAUAUGAGUUUUGGACUUGAGAAGUUGAUCAGUCAAUUCAUCUGACCAUUUUGAAAUGCACUGAGACCUAAAGUUUUAUGUGUUUGUCAAAUGGAGAUGACCCCAAGAAAAACAAUGUUAUUAAGGACUAUAUGAACAACUUUCAUGUUCAUCAAAAAUUUAUUUGAAGCUUGGAAGGUUAUCAUCCAUUCCAAGACAUUAUAGGUCAUUUUGACUAAAACCCUAAUUUUGGGUCAACUUCCCAAGGACAUAACUCCUUCAUUUUUCAUGAUUUUGAGGUGAGAUCUAAUGCAUUGGAAAUCUUAAGAUGUAUACUUCAAAUGUUAUGUUGAGAGAAAUUGCAAAACCUCAAAAGAAAUACAUGUGAUAAUGCAAAACAUUAUAGGUCACUUUUGACCAAAUGCAUUGAAAUAUGAAAAAGUCCAACUUCAAGUGUCCAUAACUUCUUCAUCAAAAAUCCAAAUGAUACAAAUUUUAAGUCCAAAUUGAUUUCCUUGAAAAUAUCUACAACUUUCUUGUUGAAGAUUUUAUCAUUUGGAGUUUUCAUCAUUGAGACAGAAGGGCUUGAACAUUGGCCAAUUUUGAAAAAUUCACAUAUGCAUGUUUUGCACCCUACACUUCAAGUUCCAUUUUCAUUAAUUUCCAAGGCCCAAAUAGAGUUUUGAUCAACAUAACAUUUGUUCCUUAUGCAGUAAGCUUUCCAACCAUUACCCAUAAGGCUAUGUUUCAAUUUUGGAAGUAUCAUUUUCGAAGAGGGGAACUUUUUAGUGCAUUUUUGGAAACUUGAUUCAAUUGCCAUGCAUGAUCCAAAUACAUCUCAUCCAACCAUUACCCAUAAGGCUAUGUUUCAAUUUUGGAAGUAUCAUUUUCGAAGAGGGGAACUUUUUAGUGCAUUUUUGGAAACUUGAUUCAAUUGCCAUGCAUGAUCCAAAUACAUCUCAUCUGCACGUCCAAAACAUAUUUGGUGAUGUUUAUCUUGCCAUUCCAAUCAGAAUUGGGCCCUCCAUGCGCCUGUACAGGCCCAUGCAUGGAGGGCCUUUUCAUCCAUGCACACACUUUGCUCAUGGUUGCAGCUCCCUUCAUCUAUAAAUACAAGGCCUUGGCUUCAUAAUUGGACAACCUGAAGGCACCUGUUAUGCUGCACGAAUCCCUCCAUGGCCAUACUUAAAGGAACUUUCUCUUUUUCUUCAAAUUUUCAGAUCUAAAUUUCAGCUACACUGGUUGAUUUCUAGACCUAUAGUUCCUAAACCUUGCUCAUCUUCAUCACUAGACUACACUGCAAGCAUUAGCAAAGGAGAAUUGUGCUCUCAAGAUCCACAUUUCAAAGAUGGAUAUCAGAACUUAUUUUCUUCGAAACUCUUUAUUCAUAGCUUAUUUCUUGCAUUUGCUGGGUUGUCUGGAGUCCUCUCAAUAGAGGCAAUUGUGUUUGUGCUUUGAAUUUUGCAAAUCCAUCAAGUUUCAGUUGAACACCAUAUUUUUCAACCUCUGAUUUCUCUCUCCAUGAAAGUCUAGAGUGAAAAUAGAUGGUACAGGGGUGAUGUACAUCACCCCAGCUUUCCAUUGUUGUAUAGAUCGCCUCAUUUGGUGAAGGUUUAUUUUCUGCAACUCUCGCCGGAAUCUCUGGUCUCGCUAGAGAAGAUGGUGGUGUACACCACCGUCCGUUUGCCAGUUUUGAUCCAGGUCGUUGAUGAUGAUUCCCAGAUUGAAUCAGGGCUCUUGGAUCUUAUGACUUUUUUUAAAUGUUUAUGUUGCUUAGUUGACUUAGGUCCAUGAUACGCGCGCAUGCCAUAGCCGUCUGAUCUGCCAGGUCAAUUAAUGAAUUGAAUCCAACGCGUGUGGUUUUUCCUCAUUUUCUAUUUCUGAUUUUAAUUUCCAUUUUAUUUCUUUUAUUCCAUUUCAUUUCAAAAAAUCAUAUCUCAUUCAUUAUUGAUCCAAAAAAUGUGAGACCAAUUGCAUUAUUUCUCUUUUAAUUUCUAGCUUCUAAAAAUGAUUUUUAAUAUUUUUUAUUUUAUCAUUUGAUAUUUUUCAUGAAUUUUCUCUUUUCUGGUUAUUUUUAAUUCAUUUUAAAUAGUUUUUGAUAUUAAAAAAAUACAAAAAUAUUUUUCCAACCUCUUUGAAUAAUGAUAGAUCUAUGAAAAAUAUUCUCAUCAAUUUAUUAAUUGAUUUGAGAUUUAUUUGAGAUUUUAGUUCAAUUAGGUUAUUUUUAUGCAUUUUUAAUUGAUCUAAAAUAGUUUCUGACUUUUAAAAAUGCUGAAAUUUUUUGUCAAACUUUGUUUGACCAUGUUGAACUUGGGAUAAUUCACUUGGACUUUUCAAAGUUGAUUUGAAGUGAGUUUGGAAGUUUUGACCUUUCUUUAUUAUUUUAAUUCAAGUUUUAUUUAAAUAUUAAAAAAUGCCAAAAAUAUUUUAUUUGUUUCUUGACUUCUAAUUCUCAUUUUGCUUCUGUUUUCUAUUAUUUGACCCUCAUCUUCUCUAUCUUUGGUCAAUGCUUGUUGAUUAGUACAUACCAUUUCCAUUAAUGCACUUUAAUUCUUCAUUUUCUUCUUUUUCUUCUUCUUUUUCUUUUUUGGAUCAAUGAGUUAAAGAUUGGUGGUUAGCAUUGAUUAGGGGGGUUUAAUCUUCCUUGAUUCAAAUCUAAUUCAUCUUGAUCAUGGAUCAAGUGAAUGGCUUUGCAUUAAGGAUAGAUUGCUUCCUAAAUCAUGCAAAGAACCUAAAUCAAUACAAGAUUAUUUCUCAUCUUCUUUUUGGCAUGGUAAGUUGUUGGAGUUUGAUUCACUAAUCAAGACCUCUAACUUGUGUCAUUGCCUACAUUAUUAUUGACCGGCCUCAGAUAGUUGUGACUUCUACAUAAGUCCAAUUACGAUUGCUUAACAUAGCGCUUUUAAACGGAAUACCGUGUGAUUGAUGAUUGUAAUUGGUAAUUGGUAUAACAUUUAAUUCUUGCUCUUUACAUUUAUGCAAUUUACUAUUCUUGUACAUAUUAUUCAUUUGCUUUUUCCUUUGCUCAUUUGAGCACAUGCUUAUGUUAAUGCAAUUUGCCUUUUGCUCACUUGAGCAUAUAAUUGUGUAUAUAUUAUUGUGCUUGUGUUUUGUUUAAUUGUUGUGGACCAAAUGCAAAGAAAUGGAUAAAUGGACUUAGUUUCUAGGACAUUCCCUAUGCAAAUUGGAGUAAAAGGAUCUUAAUGUUGAAGAUGGAUUUGAAGGACCAAACCUCUAAACUCACUCUUGUCCAUUCUUGAUUUGCUUCAUAAGACUCUUUGAUGUGUGUGUGCUUUUGUGCUAGGGGAUCCAACGAGAUAUCAAAUUGAAGAAUCAUUGCCAUGUUCAUCCAAAUUGAAAGAUACAAAAGGCAUUAGGGAUCUUCUAAGAGCUUGUUUGAUUAUGUUGAUUGCUUGAGCUUACUAUUAUUUUGCUUGCAUAUUCCAAAGGAUGUGAGCUACUUGGAUCAUCAAUAUGAUCACAAAAGAGGAACUCCAUUUGUGGUCUUGUUUCUUAUCCCUUAUCUCUUGUAUGACUAGGACUUUAGGCAUUCUUCUCCUUCCCUCCAUUAUAACCCAAGCCAAAACUUUUGUGCAAACAUUUAACACCUCUUUCUACACAUUAUAAACAUAAGCCUUAUGCUUUGGAUUUUCAAACUUCCUUUUCAUAACACUUAUUUUGAAUUGAAUCUUUAAGUCAACUUUGACCAUAUUUUGUAAAUACUUUUCAUUAGUAAAUAUAACCCAUUCAAAUACUUUUGUGGUUUCAAUGGCCAUUUCUAAUCAAAACCUUUUCAUAACCUUUAGCUAUUAGGUUUGAGUUAUCCUUGAGGUUGAUGUAAUACUCACCUAUAUCCUUAGUGAUGGACAAUGAGUCUUCCAUGCUUAUUAUAGGGUUAACCCCUCACUUGCAUGGUUGAUCAGUUAUUCUCGGUCACUAUGGUGGACUUGUGUGUGUUAGGUUGAGUUUUUCUCCCUUGGAUAACAAAAGACCUUAAGGCUUUUGGACCAAUCAAUUCACCAACUCAUUUUAAGAUUUUUACCCGAACUACGAGGUUUUGACCUAAUCUUUUUUAGAAUGGUACGCGUAGGCAAUGGGUUAUCCAUCCAAACACAAAAUGUAAAUAACUUGUAUAUUCCUUUCUAUCUCUUCAAUCUGUUGCACAAACAAAAAUUUUCACAAAAUACCAACCUUACAACAAGUUGAAAGGGCUCCCUAGGAGUACCAUCAGCAUGUUUUGGGUGCUUAAAACCAUCCCAUUGCAUAACCAACCCCCUUACCCCGAUCUCUGACAUUUUUACUAGUUUUUGAUUCGAUAAAACUUUUAGGUUUUUGUUCGCUUUCUAACGAUUCCUUUGGAUAAAUAGAAGUGCGGUGACGACUCGACUUGUAUGGUUUACCUUGGAUUUAGUCAAUAUCACUAAUGGUAACGAAUACCCCGCUACACGUACCAACAUAAAAUGAGGGAUCAAAACCUCGUAGUUCGUGAUACAAAAUUCAAAGUGGAUGCAUUGCUUUUAACAAAAUUUAAGUUUGAAAGGCACAAAGGCCUAAAAAAUGAUUUGAAUGAGUUAGUUCUUUUUGGCUUUUUGAAAGUUUAAGUCAAGUAUAAUUAAGUUCAUUUACAAGUUUGAUUAAGAAAAGAAGUUUGAAAAUACAAUGGCAUAAGGCCAAAGUUUCUAGUUUUCAAAAUGGUCAAAGUUUAGAACAAAGUAAGUUCAAUCAAAGAAGAUUUUUAAAAAGGGGAAGAGAUUUUGAAAUUAAAGAAAUGGGGAGAAGAUGAAGAGACUAAUCUUUUGCACAAAAUUAAAAGUUAAGGGUUGAAAAGAUCUGACCAAUGGGUAGCAAUCCAAUAGACAAGAAUGUCAAUAGAAACCCAAAUUCCCUUGAAAAUUUAGAAUCAAGCAACACACAAAUGCACAAUUAUAUCAAUCUCGAAGAGCAAGGCAUCAAAUAAAGAUAGCUACAUCCAAGAUUAGCCACUCCAUGAUCUUCUUCAAAUUAGCCCAUAUAACAGAUGAAUUCCACAAGUCACAGGCUCAAAAUAAAAACUUCACAAUGAUCAUGUAGCAGAUGAACUCAAAGGGAUCUUGGAUGAUGUAUCAGAUGAAGUUUCAAAUUGCAAGCACUUGGUUUCAUAGAAAGUUGACAUUGGCCAAGUCCUUUAGCAUAGGAAGGUUGCCUAAAUUCUAAGUCCAAUUGUUCCAAGAUUAAGUCAACAAUCCACACAAAAGUCUUUUAGGGUUUUUGUUCUUAUUAUGUAUAUUAAUGGUCAAAGACCACACAAACAAACAAAAUAUACACAAAAUAGAUAUAUCACACUAUAUGGUCCAAGUGGACAAAGUGAAAAUUGCAUUAACAUGAACAAUUAGAAUGGCAUAAAUAAUGGCAAACGAAUAGAAAUUAAAAAUUAAAGUGCAUUAAAGAAAAGGACUUGAAAUUAAAUGUGAGUUGUUAAUGAGUUAGAAUUUAGUAUUGUUUUGCUUUUGCUUUUUAUUUGAAGUCAUUCUUUGGAGAACACUCAACCCACUUAUCACAAGCAUGGAUCCUUGAACCAAUACAUCUUCGAAAGGAAGGAAAAAAGGCCAAGUUUCCACACAAUACCAUGAAAGAGGGGAGACUUACAAUCUCACUAACUAGAAUGCUAUGCCUUUUUUUGUCAUAAAUUUAGCACCAUGUUAAGCAAUCGUAAUUGGAUUUAUGUAAAAGUCACAACUAUUUGAGGUCGGGCAAAAGAAUUUUGGUGUUAAUACAUGUGAGAGACAUAGUGUAAUGGACUAUGCUCAUGAAACAUACCACACACAAAAAGAAUAUGCAAAAGGGGUGGCCUAAUCUCAUCCAUACUUAUGUUGAUUUUGCAAUCAACUAGCCUUAGGACUUAGAGAUAUCAUAUGCCAAAUGAGAUGAAUGCAUAAAGAAUGAGAAUGAGAUGAAGAGGGGGGGGGGGGGAAUGGAUCAAAACUCAAAUUGAUCAAAGGAGGACUUUUACCAAAUUAAUAUCAUCCAUUCAUUUUGGGAGAUGGAAUGUACAUUCCACCAACCCCCUAAAUCCAAUGAUAUUAAUUUUAUAAAGUCAAAUCAACCUUGACCAAGGCCCAACAACAAGAGUCAAACUUAUACAAGUCAUCACUAUAGGUCAACACAAUUAAUUGGAAUUUAUUCAAAUUAAAAAUACUAAAAUAAUACAUUUAAAUCAAAUAUGGUUUCUCAAAUUCCUAAAACCUCAUCAAAACACCAAAGAAAUGGCCACGAGAUUUAUCAAAGGUCAAACAAGGUCAAAGGACCUUGGAGAAAAAAUUUCAGAAUUUUUAAAGACUUAAAAGCAUUUUUAAACAAUUAAAAGCAAUCACAAAAUCAAUUAAAUCAUGAAAAAUAUUAAUAAUGAUCCAAAAAAUAAUUUUAAUUCAAAAUAUGAAAGAGGAAAUUAUUUGAAAAGUUUGGUGAAACUCUCAUACUUUUUGGAUCAAUAUUAAAAUUAAUAUGAAUUAAUGAAAAUAAGCUAAUUAAAAUAAAAAUCAGAAAAUAGAAAAAAACGUGGACCACUUGAACUCCCUCAUUAAUUGGGGUGGUAGAUCAAGUGGAUCAGCGUGCGCGUUCCAUCGUGCCCUGCAGUCAACGCGGCAUAGGCUUGGUAUUUAAAACAUUCCAAACUCAUCUAAUGGCUUGAAUAGUUCUAGCUCAUCACCGGAGCCAAAGGUCGGUCAUCUUCUCCGAUGACCAUGGCCGGACUGGUUCAGUCAUCACCAUAUCAUAAAUGACAAAAGAGGACAUGAUCUGAAAGAUAAAAUGGUGUGGAUCACGAAUAUCACCUCAAUUUUAUCUAACUCCACAUAUAUAGAAAGAUAUGAGGAGUUGAAUUUUGAGGUGUGUCAACUGAGUUGCUUCGAUUUGACCUCUAAGCAACUCAAUCUUCUUGCCUACAUUGGUAGGACUUCAGACAACCAAAGAAAGAUAUGAGGAGUUGAAUUUUGAGGUGUGUCAACUGAGUUGCUUCGAUUUGACCUCUAAGCAACUCAAUCUUCUUGCCUACAUUGGUAGGACUUCAGACAACCAAAGAUCCAAGAGAAUUGAGUGAGAAUCGAAGAGAUGAAGUUUUAUGAAAAUCACCUUCAAUGUUGUGCAGAACUUGAUGUUGCUUGCUUUAAACACGAUCUGAUCACACUUUAGAAGUUUGUAGGAAAUGAUUAGCAUGGGUGCAAGGCUUUGGAUCCUGGAGUUUUUGAAUCUCCAACAGUUGAGAUUCAAAAUCAAUUUUCAAAUUGAAAAUUCUCAGGUUUUCCUUUAGAAUGAGAGGGUUUGAAUUGGGGGGCAAAGUUGGCGCGCAAGGUGUCCCUGAAUUGAGCACAUAGGUCAUGUAUUUAUAGCAUGAGGGAGUGAUAUUUGCACACUUGAAAUUUUGUCCAAAUUUAGCUAUGUGAAUGGCACGAGUGCAUGGGCAUGUACAGGCCCAUGAGGCAAUGAAUUAAGGUCCAAAAUCAAUCAUGUUAAAGUCUGUAUGAAGCUUUAAUGGCAAGGCAAGGUGAAAUGAAGUUUGUACAUUUGAUUUCCUCCAAUGAUGCAGCUCUGUUAAAGCCAUGUGCAGCCCUAAGAAACCUCAUCGAAAUGGCAUGAACUUGGGUUCUUUGGAAAGCUUGGAUCAAGGGGAACAAGUUUGAUGUUGAACACUUUUUCAUUUGGAUUCUGGAUCAUGGUGAAUUUUGAGGUGGAAGUUUGGAAAUUUCAACAUGUUGAAAAUUUUCCUAAGUGUAAAGUCAUAUAUCUCAAUAUUCCCCCUUACUUAACUUUUUAUGUAAGCUUCAAAUGAGAAAAGUGUCUUCAUCAACCUUGUCGCUCUUUCAAACACCUUCAAAAUAGUCACCAAUUUCAUGUCAUUUGGAUUUAGAAUGAUAGAGUUAUGCAUUUUUGAAGUUUGGAAAAAUCACUUGUUCAAUGGUAUAGGUCAAAAAUGACCUAUAAUGUAUCCUCAUAUCACAUGCUCAUAAAAAUCACUUGUUCAAUGGUAUAGGUCAAAAAUGACCUAUAAUGUAUCCUCAUAUCACAUGCUCAUAAAAGUUGAAUUAGCUCUCACUCCAAACAUCAAAGUUGAAUUAUACAUCUUGAAUUUGAUUUUACAACUUGAAAAUCAUUAUAGGUCAUUUUGUCUAAACCCUAAUUUGAAAGUCAACUUCCCAAGGCCAUAACUUGCUCCAUUUUUAUGAGAUGAAAGAAUAGAUCUAGGUCUCAACAUAAAAGUUGUUUUUAAUGUCAUUUAGAGUAACAUUUCUCUUGGAAUCAUUUUCAUAUGGUGAAAAUUGUAGGAGAUAGGGUCUAGGGAGACCCAGUUUUGAUCAGAGGAAUUCAUCUGGACAACCACCAUCAACCAACUGGCUAACUAUUAAUUAUCUUGAUUUUAUUGGCUCAUGGUAGAUCAUCUAUGCAUAAUAUUAUGAAUUUUGAAGUUUCCCUUGAAAAAUUUGAUCAAUUGGUUAGAUAUCUUGUUGAAGAAGUUACUCAAGGUACCCAGUCAAACUAGGGUUUCCAAGGCAAGUCACCCUCAAACUCUUGAAGAAAACUUGAUCAAUAUGACAUGUAGAAAUAAUUGGGACUCGUAUAUGAUGCUUAUAACCAUUCUUGGAUCAAUUCAUGGUUGUGGUCUUUGUCAUGAGGGUCUCAAACCCUAGAUAUGAACUUGAUAGAUCAAUGGUGAUCAUGCCCUACCUACAAAAGAGUUAGGCAAAUACAAAGAUAUAUUUUUGGUAUUUUGGUUAGUAAAAAUGAUAAUAUACAAGUAUGAUACAAUCACAUGGUGCUUGGUGAUCUCUCUCCAAACAAACCCAAUGAAAGAGGGGUAAGGAGGAUGCCAAGGUAUGAUCCCAAUGCUAAUGCAUAUGAUGAAAUUGCAUGAGGGAUCUUAGGGUCAAAAUUGGGGUUUUAUAGCUGCCCCUAUUUAAGGAUAUUCUAAUUGAGGAGGCGAAGGUUAAAAUCUUCAUGUCGACUCAGUAGAAUGGGCUUAAAUAACAAAACAGAAACAAAUUUUGGUCCCUAAGAGACCUCAUGAUGCAUAUGAUAUGAAUGUAAAAGUUAAUUCUCUGUGGGGAAAUAUUGCCACAAAGGAAAAGAAAUCAGAGACACCAAAAAUCUGCAGGAGCAUGAUGCAUUCCAUCAGGAAAACUCACUGGGGAGACAAAGACUCUGAGGGGGAAAGGAGUUACGCGUAGGCUAGACUACGACUUACAACUUCUGGGGGACUAGAGGAAUUCCACACAAAAUGGAAAGACUCAGUCGGGGAAACAAAACAUCUGCAGAGGAUACGAGUAGAUCCGGAUAACACUAAAGUACUUGGAUCAUGCAGGAAAAGCGAUUUCACUAAGGAAAUGCACACUCAACUCGACUGGGGAAGAUAAACUUCAACGUGGGAGGAGAAGAAAUUUAUUAUCCACUACCUGUUACUGGGUAAGGAGAUAAUAAAGAUAUGACAGAGAAGACACCUGUCAUCGGUUAGGAUGAACAUAUCAAGGAUGACUCACUGGGGAACCACCAGGAGGGAGCAUUCAUUACCGGUUACUGGGUAAGAAUAGCCUUGCUGAGGAAACUGCAAAAAAAUAGGAUUUACAACUACCAGUUACUGGGAAGAAGACCAAAGGUGAGAGUAUCCGUCAUUGGUUAGGAUGAACAUAUCAAGGAUAAACUCAACAGGAAAGAAAAUUCGUCAUCGGUUAGGAUGAACAUAUCAAGGAUAAACUUGCCUGGGAAUGUCAAGGAGGAUACCCGUCAUCGGUUAAGAUGAACAUAUCAAGGAUAUACCAACUGAACAAAAAGUAGGAAUUACAUCUACCGAAUGCUGGAUAGGAUACCAUCAAAGAGAAAAUAUGUCAUCGGUUAGGAUGAACAUAUCAAGGAUAGACUUUGUGAGGAGAAAAAUAGGAAUUACAUCUAUCAGUUACUGGAUAAAAUACCAAGAGAGAGUAUCCGUCACUGGUUUGAGUGAAUAUAUCAAGGAUAAACUCUGCGGUAGAAAGUAGGAUUUACAACUACCAGUUGCUGGGUAGAAGACCGCAAAGAGAAGGAAAUUCGUCAUUGGUUAAAAUGAUCAUAUCAAGGAUUAACUCUCUGGGGAACAAAAUAGGGAUUACAACUACCUUUUUACUGGGUAGAAUACCAAAAGAUGAGAGUAUCCGUCAUCAGUUAGGAUGAACAUAUCAAGGAUAAACUCACGCAGGGGAAAUAAAGAUAUCUCUCACCGGUUAGGAUGAACAUAUCAAGGAUAUACUUCCUGGGGAAUCAGGAAAAACGAAUCCACUAGGGACUCUACUACUGGAAAAACAGGGAUACUUUUGUCGUGUAUUGGGCAAGAAGUAACAAACUGCAAACUAAGAAGAAUAUUAUCU